RNAcentral lists this long non-coding RNA (82650 nucleotides) under Triticum aestivum (bread wheat). Its description in RNAcentral is "long non-coding RNA (TAES_LNC019543)". The stretch from base 74897 to 75011 matches the Rfam family "MIR1120/MIR1122 microRNA precursor family". Lineage: Eukaryota; Viridiplantae; Streptophyta; Magnoliopsida; Poales; Poaceae. The record is from RNAcentral.
UCUUCUGCAUUCCUCGUUAAUGUUAUUGCACGCAUGCUGAAUUACAUCAGUCACCAUAUUUCAUCAUGCAUUUGAAAUUCUUCAUAUAUUAUGUCAAAUGCGUGUAUGAAUUACAAGAUAUAGGGGGAGAUCUCCAUGAUUCAACUCUUCAAGUGUGCAUUGCUUCAAAAGCAAAUUCCUCACUAUGCACAUCUUCAGGGGGAGUUCUUCUAUAUCUUGCAAUCAAAUUCCUCAAUAUCAGUAUUUACACUUCAUAUGUUUAUUCCCGUUGAAAACUUAACCUAUAUUGUCAUCAAUCACCAAAAAGGGGGAGAUUGUAAGUGCAUCUAGUGCCCCUUAGUGAUUUUGGUGUAUUGAAGACUUAUAGGUUAAGGGACUAAUUUGUUUAUGAGUGUACACAGGUCAUAAGUCUAUGAGGAGUUUGAUAUUUACAGAGAAAGUCGACCCCUAAAAAUGAAGUUCUUCGACUGAAGACUUUGGAUUUCUGAAGACUUUCUGAAGACUUUGAAAGUGAAGAAAUUGGUGUGACCUUGAAGACUUGGUAUUCAUUUGAGGAACAUGAAGUGUGAAGACUUUUGUUUUCAUAGUUUCAUUUUCUCUUUCUUGAGUCAUAGGAAACACCGUACUGUUAAAGGGGGUCGAGGAAAUACUAAGGAAAAAUUUCCAUGUGAUGCUCAACUCAAAAUCCUACACCUACCAAUCCCUUCGAGUGAAGCCAUUGGAAAUCUCAUACAGUUCAGUCAUAUUCUUCAGUGACAUAGACGAAGUUCUUCUGAUCUCUGAGGAAUUUGUUCUGACUGAGGAGUUAGGAAUUCGCUAGUGCGGAUUGCCUACACAGUGAGGAACAUGAUAGCCCUGAGGAAUUUGAACCUCAAAUUUCCGACAGUUGCUGUGCUAUGCGCCAGCUGUCCCAAAAUAUCUACCCACCUAACGGUCAUAUCAUUGAAGGGCAUUUAUGUCUUAUCAUGCGGGCUGCUCCCUAGGCUAUAAAUAGCUGCCCCCUACAACCACUAGCUGGUUGGCUGCUCCGAGAGAAACUGACACUUGUCAUUUGAGAGCAUCCCAUCCUCCGAGGACUUUGAGCAAAAAUCAUCAAGUGAGGAAAAACCCCAAACCCAGACACCUACAAACCCAAAGUGACUGAGCAUCACUGAAGAGAUUGAUCCUGCAUGGAUCCAACGCUUGUUACCUUUGAAGAUUGUGCUUCUUCCAGACGGUUAGGCGUCAUGGUCUAGAGCAUCCAAGAGGAAAUUGUGGAUCGCCGAGUGACCGAGUUUGUGAAGGUUCGGAAGUCACCUGAAGACUUAUCACGAGUGAUUGGACGAGGUCUGUGUGACCUUAGUUCAAGGAGAAUACGGUGAGGACUGUGUGUCCGGGACUGGGUGUCCUCAGGUUUAAAUACCUAGCCGCUCCAACCAGACGUACAACUGAGACAUCAGUUGGAACUGGUCUACCAAAUCAUUGUCUUCACCAAGCCAACUGGUUCUAUUUCCUCAACUCUUUCAUUUCCUCAUUCCUGUGUUUUGCAAUUGUUCAUAUCUGUGUUUGAAGACUUUGACUGAAGACUUUCUCAAUUUCCUUAGUUCAAUUUCCUCAGUCUGUUUGUCUUCAUCCUGUGUUAUCCUGUGUUUACGCUUUCUGUACUCUGUGCUUGUUUUCAUUUCAUCAUGAUGACUAUGCUUGUGUUCUGCUAUGCAUACUUUUGAGUACUUAUUCCGCUGCAAGUAGUUCUUCGCUAAGGAAUUUCCUCACCCACAAAUUCCUCAGUGAAGAAUUUAUAAAAAUCGCCUAUUCACCCCCCUCUAGUCGAUAUAACGCACUUUCAUCCACAAUUAGACUCAUGACCUUGAAUUUUUUAGGAAUAUCAAAGAUUUGCAACAAGUUGAUGGAAUGUCCCCUAAUCAUCUUGUGAUCUCCAGAUUUGGGUAACAGAGUAUGCCUUAAGAUGGUGUUGAUAGUGGGCAGACCACACAACAAAUAGUGCACAGAUCCAAGCUUGUGUCUCUCCAAAGCUUUAUCAGGGAUCUUUUUGUACAUAUUUGCCAUAGAGUUGUGGUCUUUCUUCUUCUUGGCAUACACAUCCAAAUCAUCCUCAUGUUCUUCUGGGGCUUUGAUCAACUUGGCCCAUUCUUCAAUAGUUGAUUGGUACCUUGUACCUUCAGACAUCCACACUAUCCUCCCAUCUGGAUUGAAAUGAGUAGUAGAGUAAAAUUGCAUUAUUAGCUCGUCAUUCCAUUUGAUGAGCUUUUGUCCAACAAACUUGUCAACUCCACAAACUUUCAAGAUGUCAUGUACUCCUGGGAAGUGAUCUUCAUUCUCUUUAAUGUAUUCCCAAUCAACCCAUCUCAUGUCACAGACAAUUGGCUUCUUGUCAAGCAGAAUGGUCUCAUAGAAGUCUUGUUGUUCUUUGCUGUGGAACCUAUAGUCCACACCAGUUCUCCUUCUCACAGCAUAAGGAUCAAACUGUCUCCAAAGUCUCAAUCCUGCAUAUUUCCUGAUGUGCAUGUCCUCAGCCACUGGAUGAGUGUCAUUGUGGUCUAGAAUCUUGGGUUUCAGUUUUCUCAAUACAUGGGCUUCAUCAUCCUCUUCUUCAACUUCAGGCACUAGGGCCUUGUUCUUCUCUUCAGUAGGAAUGUUUCUGGUGCUUCUCUUGGGCUUAGAGGGUUUCUGAGUUUGAGUUGUUGCUUUGGGAGCAGCCCCUGACUUGAUAGCAUCUCCCAUAAGCUUCUGAGAUUUGGGUGCUGGUGCAGCAUCCUCUUCCUCUUCCUCUUCUUAUGAAUCUCUUACCAUAGUUGAUUUUCCAAGAACUUUUGCAGAUGUGGUUCUUGCCCUCUUCUUCUUCUUGCCAUCUCCAACUGCCUCACCAUCAUCUGAUUCUAUUGUGAAUUUCAUGGUUUCUCCUGUUGGAACUUUCCUCGGCUUUGGCAUUGGGACUCUCUUUGCUGGUGCCUUCUUAUGCAACCCUGGCUUAGUUGCAGCAGUUGUGCCAUACUCUUUCUUCCUUGAGGUGGCCUCAUCCUCAACAGCCACAUAAUCCUCAUCCUCAGAGUCUGAGGUUCUCUUCUUCCUUGAUCUGGUGGCUGCCUUGGGCAAGUUACUUGGAGUGCUCCUGCUACCUUUAUCAUAGCUGCUUGAGGGACUAGUGCCCUCACUCAAUUUCACUUGCUCUUCAGAUCUGUUUUGGCUAUCACUCUGAUCAGACAUCUUGGCAAUCACACUGACAGCAAACCCUGUGAAUAGAUGUAGAUGAGGUAGAGUAGAUGAGCAUCACAAAGUGCAGAGUUUUUGCAAAACAGAUGACUCAAAAACUUAGUUUUAGUUCUCCACAGAAAGAAUUUCGGAGCUACCGAUUUGUUAAACUCGAUGAUACCGAAGCAACUUUUGGAACCUAAACUAGUGAACUCGGUCAGACCGAGUCACAGUUCGGUGGCACCGAGAUUGCUAGGGUUUCACAGAGAGUCGAACUCGGUCACACCGAUUUGCAAUUUUCGGUCAGACCGAAAAGCACAUGUGCAAUGGCCUAAGCCAAAUCGGUGAGACCGAUUUCUACAACUUGGUCGGUCUGAGAUGAGUUCGGCGGAGACCUAACCCUAAAUUUUCGAAUCAAACCUAACCUAAAGGAUGUUUUCUCUGGAUAGAUUGUUUUCAUACAUGGUAAAGAUCAUGGCAAAGCAAUGUGCUAGGAAUCAAAGUAAGGAAAUAGCACAAAGUAUCGAACCCAUACCCUAGUUUGGCGGGAGUUUGCUACGGCGGCAAUGGCGGAGCAGAAUUCCGUUGACGGCAACGGAAACCAGCAGCGGGAGGUCGCUGGCAGCGAGGAGAUGAUCCGGAGACCCGAGGAGGCAGAGCACGGAUACGCGUGGGCUGAGGGCUUUUGAAGAAAUUUCCAAAAUCUCACCCGUGGGUUUAUAUAUCCCGAACCUGUCGGUGUGACCGAGUGGAACAACUCGGUGGCACCGAGAUGCAGAAUCGCAAGCUGUUACUGCAACUCGGUGUGACCGAAAAGUUCAAAUCGGUUGCACCGAGAUGGAAAACCUUGAUCAACUUAGUGAACUCGGUGUGACCGAAGUGGAUGAUUUGGUCAUACCGAAAUGCACAAAGAGGUUUUGGAAGUUUAAGUCUAUGACGAAUCGGGGACUCCGAGUGCUCCUCACACAGAGUGGUUCGAAUCUGACUUGAUCAAACUAUGUGAUGUAGCAUGAAUAGAGUUUGAGACGAGAAAAGCAUAGAUAGCUAGAGGGUGUUCUUAGGCAUUCUUGUCCAUCCAUUUGGCAAAAGGGAAAAAUCCAAACAAUCAAAGCAACAAAUGGAUGUCCUUAAAUGAGUAAAAUAUGCAAUCAACAUGCUCACACAAUAAAAUGGCAAAUGAAAUAUGUGACAAAGCAUGCACAAACACUCUAGCAUCUAUCAAGCAAUUGGCGAUGACUAGGUCAUCUAUAUAUGAGUAUAUUGACUUAGGAGUCAAAUGAGAACAUUUGAUCAUAGGUCAUACUCAUCAUUUAAGCAUAAGUGCAAUAUGUGGAAGUUGUUUGCACAUGUCCUUGCCAAAGGAUAUGAGUGAAGUAUGGUGGCGGAGUCACCCUCAAGAACUCUCUAGUUCCUUUUCUUCGGGAUCCACAUCAUCUUGGUGGGAAUCCUUGGAGUUGUAGUCAUACUUGAUGAAGUAGAACUUGAUGUAGUCUUGGGAACCCACUUGACCAAGGCCUUGGGAGCUUCUUCAAAUGCAUCAAUCUCCUCUUGAAGCUUGUCCUUGCCUUUUUUCUUGUGGUCUUGUGGUGGAAGAACAUCUUGAGCUUGUGUUCCUUGGAAAGAAGUAGGAUCAUACUUCUCUUGUUGAGGAACAAACUUCGUCUUGGGGUAUUGAUCUUCUUCCCACUCAAAUCCAUUGGCAUUGAACUUUCGUUCAAAACCAACACCUUGAUUCUUCCGGUGCCUUCCUUGCUUGCGUACAAUUUCCUCAAAUUGCUUACUUCUGGCAAGGCUCUUGUAAACACUUUUCUCUAUAAUUCCCUUCAAUAAGCUAUUUUCUUGCUCAAGUGUAACUUGGCUAAGAGAAUCAUUAGUGGAAUCAAGAGAACUACUAGAAGCAACAACAUUGGAUUUAGCAUGAUUAUUGUUACUACUAGAAGAAGAAUCUUUCUUACUCUUGUUGCUAGAUUUUACUUGUGGCAUGUAAGUAGACAAGAGUAAAUGCUUGGCAAUGUAAGAAGAACUUUUCUUGCGAAGAUCAUCAUUGAUUGCUUUUAAGAACCCAUGCUCUUGCUCAAGGUUGAGCAUUUCAAAGCGUAGCUUUUCAUGAGUCUUUAAAAGUUCUCGAUGAUCUUCCAAGGUAGUUUCAUGAGCUAACUUAAGAGUGUUUAGUUCUUUAGUUAGACGCUCAAUCUCCUUCUUAUCAUCAUCAUUCAUUUUAUCUUGAUUAUCAUGAUUAAUAGCAAGUUCAUCAUAGUUUUCAUCAUUAGAGUUGUCAACAAGUAAAUCAUCAUCACCUAGCAAAUCAUCUUCAUCACUAUUGAAAUCAACAUACUCGGGGUGUGAUACCUUUGGGCCUUUAGCCAUGAAGCAUCUUCCAAUUCCUUCAUCUGGUGAGUCAGAUAUGUCGUAGGAGUUGGUUGACACAAGUGCUAGACCGGCAACACCUUCAUCUUGAGUAUAUUCGGAGUCGGAGUGAUAACUUCUUUCGGAGUGAUGGUCGAAGUCGGAGCCGGAUGCCCAUUCACCAACAUGAGCUUGAUGUCUUCUUUUUGUGUAGCUCUUUGAUGAUUUGUCCUUCCUUUCCGAAUCCUUGCUUCUCCGAGAGGUUCUUCGUUCAUAACGAUCACCUCUACUCCUUCUCUCUCUUGGUGGUGAUUCUUCUCUUCUACUUCUUCUUUUGGGUGAAUCUUCUCUUCUUUUGUAGGGAGUCGUACACUCAUUGGAGUAGUCUCCGGGUCUUCCACAAUUGUAGCAAUUACGUUCUCGACUCGAAGAUCUCUCGUCAUUGUAGGACCUUGACUUGGAACUUCUUUCCUUGCUUCUACUUUUGUAGAACUUGUUGAAAUUUUUCACCAUUAGGCUCAAUUCUUCAUUGAAGGUUUGUUUCUCACUUGAAGAUGUGGGAGCAUCACAUGAGGCUUUGUAAGCACCACUUGACUUGUUGUGGAGCUCUUCCUUAUCCUUAAGUGACAUCUCAUGAGCAACAAUUCUUCCAAUGACUUCCGUCGGCUUGAGAUCUUUGUAAUUGGGCAUCAUUUGGAUCAAUGUGCACACGUAUCAUAUUUUCCAUCUAAGGCUCUUAGGAUCUUCUUGAUGAUGAAUCUAUCGGUCAUCUCUUCACUUCCUAAGCCGGCAAUCUCAUUUGUGAUGAGAGCAAGCCUAGAGUACAUUUCAGCGACACCUUCACCAUCCUUGAUUUUGAACUUGUCAAGUUGACUUUGAAGCACAUCCAAUUUGGAUUCCUUGACGGAGUCGGUACCCUCGUGCAUAUCAAUCAAAGCAUCCCAAAUUUCCUUUGCAUUCUCAAAACGGCUGAUUUUGUUGAAUUCUUUGGGGCACAAUCUGUUGAAGAGAAUAUCACAAGCUUGAGCAUUGUAUUGCAGUAUCUUCAACUCUUCCGCGGUAGCUUCACGGUUCGGUUCUCUCCCAUCAAAGAAUUCACCUUGCAAGCCAAUACACACAAUAGCCCAAACGGCGGGGUUAUGUCCAAGAAUAUGCAUUUUCAUCUUAUGCUUCCAACUAGCAAAAUUAGUACCAUCAAAGUAAGGACCUCUACGGUGGUAAUUUUCCUCGCUAGACGCCAUACUCUCCUAGGUUGUGAAACCAAGGCUAUGAUCACAAAAAGCUAUGGAAAUCAAGGCAAAUGGGGACCAAAGCUCUGAUACCACUUGUAGGAUCGAAAGUAUGUCUAGAGGGGGGUGAUUAGACUACUUGACCAAAUAAAAAUCUAGCCUUUUCCCAAUUUUAAGUCUUGGCAGAUUUUAGAAACUUAGCACUAGUCAAGCAAUCAACCUACACAUGCAAGUCUAAGAGUAUAGCAGCGGAAUGUAAAACAUUGCACAUGAAGGUAAAGGGAGGAGUUUGGAGGAAGCAAACGCAAUGUAAACACGGAGAUUUUUGGCGUGUGCCGGAUGUGGGGUUCCGGCAAACCCUUAAGGUUCGAACACUGGGGUGCGCACGAAGUCUCUCCCUCCUACCGAUCUAUGCUCUAGCUCGCUAAGAUCUUGCGGACAAACUCGACGAACUUGCAACACAGAAAGACACGGGGUUUAUACUGGUUCGGGCCACCGUUGUGGUGUAAUACCCUACUCCAGUGUGGUGGUGGUGGAUUGCCUCUUGGGAUGAUGAUGAACAGUACAAGGGAAGAACAGCCUCCUGAGGUUGAGGUGUUCUUGUGCUUGUGUAGUUGAGGAUGAUCUAAACUCGUUCGGGAUCAGUUGCCUCCUACUGUGGUGGCUAGUCCUAUUUAUAGAGGCCCUGGUCCUCUUCCCAAAUAUCAAGCGGGAAGGGAGCCAACAACGGCGGGCAAAUUUGAAGGGGGACAGCUAGUACAAGCUAUCCUGACGAAAGCGGUCUUCGCCUGCUAAAAGCUCUGGGGUGACGCCGUCUUGGGCUCCACGAUGACCUCCGCCUUGCCGUCCUCCUGGUCUUGGUCUCGUUGCACCAACAUGGCAACCUUUGCCUGAUGCCUCGGUACUCUUCGCCUGCGCUGGUCUCCUUAGCACCAAAGAGGAAAUGAGGACGCUGCGCGCACCGGCGCCCGCCUGGCACCCGCCUGGUACCGUUCGUCAUGGCUCAUGUCACGAGAGCCUCGUGAGGUUUGCCUCGCCUUGAUAUCUCCGCUCCUCGUGAGCCUGCUUGGCUAGGCCACUCCAGAGGAGGUCUUGCGUUGUCCUCCUCGCAAGGCUUGGACCCUCGCGAGGGUCUUGGGUGCCUUGUUGACGAAGAUGGGCCGUACGGCCUGCUGCUUAGCCAUGCUGUGGGCCGCAGGCAGGCAAGUCUGGGGACCCCCGUUCCCAGAACGCCGACAGUAGCCCCCGGGCCCAAGGUGCACUUGGGCAUGGCUUCGCGGCGAAGCCAAGGGUCAAGUUCGGAGCACCGCGGGCCCCAAAAGCCUGCGGCCUCGGUCGACGCAUGGCGGUUGAUUGGACGUGGGCAUCUCCGCUUCCCCACACUACCUCAGCAACUGCACGACUUGACAAGUCCCCGCGACAUGCAAGGAAAACCAUCAUUACCUGCGAUCGUGGGAGACGCCGGUUGGCCUUCUCUUGCUAUAAAUGGGGAGGGGGCAGAGCCCGCGUUGCCCAUCUCUUCCUCGCUUGCUUGCUUCUCUGCUCCAUUGCUUGCAGUGCCAUCGAUGGCGCCACGAAAGAAGUUCUCUGCCGCCGAGAAAGGAAAGGCCCUCGCGAGGGCCCCGGCUCCCCGGCGCCCAAGCGCGGUCGCGGCCGUCUGCGCAAGCACGCCGCGACCCCCGCCAUGGCCCACCGUCGAGGUGGCGCCGCGGUACGCGGAGGGGAUCAUCCCAUCCAUGGUGGUUCAGCCGAUGAGGGGAGGCACGCGAUGGUGGCGCGGCCUUCCCGCCCACGCUUCCAUUCGGCUGAGGUGUCGCCGGAGUUUGUUGUCUGGUCGGAGAGUCCGGCCGGCAACUGGCUCCAACUUCUGCGCUUCUUCGCCAGCGAACUGCCGGCCUCUGGUCCGGGCGGGCUCUGGCUGCAGGCGGACGGCUGCUGCAGCAGGGCCUCUUGGGUUGCGGUCGAGACUUCCGCCGCGGGCAACAUAGCCCUGGCCCGCGGCUAGCAGACGUUCGCCCGCGCGCGCGGCCUGGGCAGGCGGUGCACCCUCCACUUCAGGUACGAUGGUGAAUCGACCCUCUAUGUGAGGGUGUUCGGGGAAGAUGGUCGCCGCGCCGGGUGCUGCCCCGAGAUGAACGACGGUGAGGAGGUGCUCGGCCUCGGUGAUGGUCGCGAUGAGGACGAGGGCGAGCCUGCCCUCGGCGGUGACCGCGUCUCCUCCAGCUACGGCGGCUCUUCCUCCGAUGACAGCUCCAGCAGCGGUGGCUACGACCAGCCGCCGCGCCCGCUUCGAAGGAGGCAGCGGGUCAUCUCGUCGUCGCGCCUCCGUGAAGCGCGAGGAGGGGUCUGGCUAGGCUCGGGGCGUUGCCAAGGGCCUGCCUCCACGGAUUGCUGCAACGCUGCUUUGCUUAGCUUUUUCUUUCUUUCCUGCAUCAUAAAAUGAAACCAGUAUGGGCCCAGAGGGGCGUGUAUCGAACUGUGGUUCUUUGGUUAAUGCAUUGUGCGAGUCGUUCCCAUGCCGUGUUGUUAUUUUGCGCCAAAAAUAACUUAACCUGGUGUGUUGGGACGCCCUUUCCCUCACGUGGUGUCCGUGUUGCCCGGAAACUGCAAAAAAAUCAUUAGGGGGUGCACCAAAGGAUUUGCCAUCCACCCAAGCCUUGACUUGGCGCCUUGUAUCGCGGUACCCGAGGGGCACGGAUUUAGGAGAGAUGUGCCAGCUUCCAGGCUCGAACGAGGGUGGCUCGCGAGAAGGCAAAGAGAAGAGAAAUGCUCGCGAGGGCACCUGCCUAGCCCCCUCGCGAGGUAUGCGAGAGAGAGAACACGAGCGGAUUCGAGCCGGAAAAAUGCAGUGAAAGGCGAGGGAACCAAAUUAGCAAGGAAACCAAAGGCAAACUUUGAUUAAGGCAAAGCAAGCCAACUAUGGAAAGCAAAUGAAAAUCCGCGUCCGGCACCUAAUCUAGUCUUCAAGUCUUCUCACCAGCGUGGAGCUAAGUGUUGUCCACUAGGCGUGGGAGGGAGCCCCAGGGCCUGAGGCCGGCACUCCUGAGACUCUGGGGCAUGUACAGCCCCAACUCAUUAUUACGUGAGAGUGUCACAGGCGGCGAUUCUUCACAGGCACCGGGCCUUCUUCACAGGCUCUGGGCCUUGCUUCAUGGAUAGAACUUCCGGAGGUGCUGGAUGUUCCAUGCGUUCUGGAUGGGUGUCCCAUCCUGCGUCUGCAGGCGCGCUGCACCCGGCCUGGAGACAUGAACGACCCUGAACGGGCCCUCCCACAUGGGUGAAAGCUUGUGCAGCCCUUCCCUGGAGAGGACCCGCUUCAGGACGAGGUCACCCACCUCGAGCAUCCUGGAGCAGAUGUUGCGGUAGUGGUAUCGCCGCAGCGCCUGUUGGUACCUUGUCGCCCUCAAUGCAGCUUCGCGACGGCGCUCCUCCCCCAGCACGAGAUCCAUCCCCCGCGUGGCGUCCUGCUGCGUUUCGUCGAACGCCUGGACCCGUGCGGAGCGAUGCUUGACCUCGUGAGGAAGGACUGCCUUAGCUCCAUAGACGAGGAAGAAUGGAGUCUCGCCUGUUGGCUUGGUGGCGGUGGUGCGGAUGGACCACAGCACGAACUGGAGUUCAUCGUGCCAGCCCCUUCCGCAGGCCUCCAGCUUCUUCUCGAAGGUUCUGGUCUUGAGGCCCCUCAGGACCUCCGCGUUGGCGCGCUCGGCCUGGCCAUUGCUCCUGGGGUGUGCUACCGAAGCGUAGCAGAUCUGCAUUCCAAGGUUAGCACGGUAGGUUUUGAAAAGGUUGCUAGUAAACUGCGAGCCGUUAUCCAUGAUGAUGCGGUUGGGGACCCUGAAGCGGCUCACGAGGCCCUCGAUGAACUUGACAGCAGAGCCGGCUGGAAUGGUACGGAUGGCCUCUACUUCCGCCUACUUGGUAAACUUGUCAAUGGCGACGUAGAGAUAUCGGUAGCCCCCUGGCGCUCGAGGGAACGGGCCUAAGAUGUCCAGCCCCCAGACCGCAAACGGCCACGUGAGCGGGAUGGUUUGGAGGCCCUGUGCAGGCUGAUGGAUCUGCUUGGCGUGGAAUUGGCAAGCUUCACAAGACUUCACCAGCUCGGCCGCGUCGUUGAGUGCUGUAGGCCAAUAGAACCCACUGCGGAACACCUUGCCUACAAGGGUCCGUGACGACGAGUGGUGUCCGCAGUCACCGCCGUGUAUGUCAAUCAGCAACUCCCUUCCUUGAUCGCUGGAGAUGCAGUGCAGCGCGACAUCGUUCGGUCGCUUCCUGUAUAACUCGUCGUCUUGGAUACAGUAUGCCGUGGCUUGCCGGGCCACACGCUCCGCGUCCUCUUCCUUCUCCGGCAGCGUCCUGUGCAUCAGGUACCCUUUGAAUUCCUUGGUCCAGCACUCCUCCUGAGGCUCGAGCGCCAAGAGCAGCCGAGCUCCUGUGGUCGGUCCGCAGGCCGGGGCUCCCGUGGCCGGGGGCUGUGGGAGCUCCUCCCGAGGCUGAGUCAUGCUUGAAAGAGGUGGCGUAGCUGAUGGCUUGAAGAGCCGCUCUUCAAAGACGCCGGGCUCUUGUGGUUGCCGCUUGGAUGCUCUCCUGGCGAUGUCGUCGGCUUCCUUGUUGGUGCCCCGAGGCACGUGCUGCAGCUCCAGGCCCGAGAACUGCUUUUCCAUCUUGCGCACCUCCGCGAGGUAGGCCUCCAUGUGCUCGUCCUUUGGCUCGUAUACCGUGUUGGAGAAGUUGACGAGGAGUUGCGAGUCGCCUCUGACGGUGAGGCGCUUCACCCCUAGAGCCGCCGCAGCCUUCAGGCCAGCUAUGAGGCCUUCGUAUUCUGCGAUAUUGUUGGAGACCUUCUCGCCGUGCUGGAAGCAGAGUUGCACGGCGUAGUAAAGCUUGUCCUGAGUGGGCGAGAUGAGCACUGCUCCAGCCCCCGCGCCCUGGUGCGCGAAGGCGCCAUCGAAAUACAUGACCCAGCUGUCUGCUGCCUCACUUCUUGGGGAGGUGGACCGGUCUUCUCCUUCCUCAAGAGUCGGGGCAUCUGUCCAUUCUGCCACAAAAUCGGCGAGCGCGGCCCCCUUGAUGACCCUGGUAGUGCUGAACUCCAGCUGGAAUGCUUGCAGCUCGAUGUUCCAUUCAGCGACCCUUCCGGCUGAGUUAGGGCUCCUGAGUACCCUCUCCAAUGGGUAAGCUGAGACGACCUUGACGGGGUGGCCCUGGAAGUAGUGCCGCAGCUUGUGCGAGGCCACCAAGAGUGCGAGCAGGAGCUUUUGCGGCAUGGGGUAGCGCGCCCUUGCGUCCCGCAGUACGGUGCUGACGAAGUACACCGGGUGCUCGACGAGGGCUGGCACACUGACGAGGCUCGGGUCCUGCGGAGAUUGGGGUGUAUCCUGAGGUGGUGGGUUUCCUGAGACCUGACCGUCCUCAGGAGCUUCUGCGAUGUUGCCCUGCUGAGCUUGGUCUUCCGCCGCUGAUGGCCCUGCUGUGCCUUCCUGACCCGGCGCGGCACACCCUUGUCUUGGCGUUCCUCCCGAACCGCCACCAGCGCCGCGCUGGCGGAGUACAGGGUGGUAGCAAGGUAGAGUACCAGAGGCUCGAGAGGCCGCGGUGCCACCAUCACCGGGGAGCUGGUGAGAUACUUCUUGAGGUCUUGGAAGGCCCGAUCGGCCUCCGGGGUCCACUCGAACGGGCCCUUCUUCUUCAUGAGCUUAAAGAAGGGCAAGGCGCGCUCGCCUAGCUUGGAGAUGAAACGCCCUAGCGCAGUCACUCGCCCUGCUAGCUUCUGCAUCUCCUUGAGAGUCUAUGGCGGGCUCAUGUCUUCGAUGGCCUUGAUCUUCUCCGGGUUCGCCUCGAUCCCUCUGUGGGAUACGAGGAACCCCAGUAGCUUGCCAGAGGGGACACCAAACACGCACUUCUCCGGGUUAAGCCUCAAGUUCACUUGACGCAAGCUCUCGAAGGUCUCCUCCAAAUCCUGAAUCAAUGUCCUCGCUUCGCGAGAUUUGACUACUAUGUCAUCAACAUAGGCCUCUGUGUUUCUGCCGAGCUGCCGCCCCAAGGCGAUGUGCAUCAACCGCUGAAAGGUGGCACCCGUGUUGCACAGGCCGAAAGGCAUGCAGGUGUAAUAGUACACCCCGCAUGGUGUCAGGAAGGCUGUCUUCUCCACAUCCUCCACUGCCAUCUUGAUUUGGUGGUAUCCUGAGAAUGCAUCCAGGAAACAUAGCAAGUCGCACUCGGCGGUGGAGUCGACGAUUUGAUCGAUGCGUGGGAGUGGGAACGGAUCUUGGGGGCAAGCUUUGUUAAGGUUGGUGAAGUCGACGCACAUCCGUUCCUUCCCGCCUUUCUUCGGUACUACGACAGGGUUCGCCAGCCAUUCGGGGUAUCGAACCUCUUGGAUGGUACCUGCUGCCUCCAGCUUGCGCGUCUCUUGGACGAUGAAGGCCUGCUUCUCGGUGGACUACCGUCUUGCCCGCUGCUUCACGGGGCGUAUGUUGGGGCAUACCCUUAGAUGAUGAUGGAUCACCUCUCUCGGGACCCCUACCAGCUGAUUGGGCUCCCACGCGAAUAUCUCCUUGUUCGCGCGCAAGAACCUCACCAGAGCUUCUUCUUGCUCUGGGUCAAGGCCGGUUCCUAUGGUGAAAGUGGCUCCUGAAGACCGUCCUCGUUGACCGGCACCUGCUUGGUCUCCGCCUUGUCUUGGGUGAACAACUGCUUCUUCUUGGCGGGCGCGGUCUCCUUAGCCUCAGGCGUACCGGUGCUAGCUGGUUAUGCUACUGUCGCGAUCUUGAAGGCGAGCCUGAACACCGUCACGGCCUCCUUAGUGUCCCCCUUGAUGGUGAGGACACCCUUGCUCCCCGGCAUCUUCAUGAGGUUAUAGGCCGGGUGAGUCGCCGCCAUGAACUGAGCGAGAGCCGGGUACCCGAGGAUAGCAUUGUACGGGAGACCGAUGCGGGCGAUGUCGAAGUCCACCAGCUCAGUGCGGUAGUUGUCGCGUGUGCCGAAUGUGAUAGGGAGGCGGAUCUGCCCCAGAGAGUGGGCAGCUCCACCACCCACUCCCGAAAAGGGCUUGCUGAGGUUGAGCCGCUCGGGCGGCACGUGGAGAAGGCUGAAGGCUUCUACGGAGAGCAAGUUGAGGCCGGCACCGCCGUUGAUGAGGGUCUUGGUGACGGCCACAUUGCAGAUGGUAGGCGUGCAGAGCAUUGGGAGCAUGCCAGAGCCGGCGGUGGAGCCGGGGUGGUCUUCUGAAUCGAAGGUGAGGUCGGCCUCCGGCGCAGCCCAACCCGGCGGAGCCCCCGAGCGCUUGGAGGCUGCCCCAAUCUGACGGAAGAAAGGCUUGACGUGGCGAUCUGAAGGCGAUGCUUGAGAGCCACCCAGCAGUGCCGCGACCGCGUGGUGCGCCGGCACCGCGUAGCAUGCGGUGAAGAGGUCGCGGAGUUCCUCCCAGGACGCCACCGUGGACCCCGGGAGGUUGAGCAGCCAGGCGCGCGGCUCGCCGGUGAGGGCCAUGGGGAACCAGUUGGACAUGAUCUUGUCGUCGCCUCCGGUUUCAAGGACGGCCUCCUCGUAUGCCAGCAGGAACGACGCCAGAUCUGCCACGCCGUCGUAACACGGCGGCAUCUCCGGCAUGAACUUGGUUGGCCACUGCACUCGCCGUAGGGCGGGGGCCAGGGCUCGGUACCCAGACUCCCUGUUGCUGGUGUCGGCCUUGGAGGUGGAUGGCGGGGUACCGGUCAUGGGGGCGAAGAGCGGCGGCGAGGAGCGCGAGUUGGUGAAGAGGAGCUCCGGCGCACCCCUACCUGGCGCGCCAAAUGUCGGAUGUGGGGUUCCGGCAAACCCUUAAGGUUCAAACACUGGGGUGCGCGCGAAGUCUCUCCCUCCUACCGAUCUAUGCUCUAGCUCGCUAAGAUCUUGCGGACAAACUCGACGAACUUGCAACACAGAAAGACACGGGGUUUAUACUGGUUCGGGCCACCAUUGUGAUGUAAUACCCUACUCCAGUGUGGUGGUGGUGGAUUGCCUCUUGGGCUGAUGAUGAACAGUACAAGGGAAGAACAGCCUCCUGAGGUUGAGGUGUUCUUGUGCUUGUGUAGUUGAGGAUGAUCUGAACUCGUUCGGGAUCAGUUGCCUCCUACUGUGGUGGCUAGUCCUAUUUAUAGAGGCCCUGGUCCUCUUCCCAAAUAUCGAGCGGGAAGGGAGCCAACAACGGCGGGCAAAUUUGAAGGGGGACAGCUAGUACAAGCUAUCCUGACAAAAGCGGUCUUCGCCUGUGAAAAGCUCUGGGGUGACACCGUCUUGGGCUCCAUGAUGACCUCCGCCUUGCCGUCCUCCUGGUCUUGGUCUCGUUGCACCAAUAUGGCAACCUUUGCCUGAUGCCUUAGUACUCUUUGCCUACGCUGGUCUCCUUAGCACCAAAGAGGAAAUGAGGACGCUGCGCGCACCGGCGCCCGCCUAGCACCCGCCUGGUACCGUUCGUCAUGGCUCACGUCACGAGAGCCUCGUGAGGUUUGCCUCGCCUUGAUAUCUCCACUCCUCGUGAGCCUGCUUGGCUAGGCCACUCCAGAGGAGGUCUUGCGUCAUCCUCCUCGUGAGGCUUGGACCCUCGCGAGGGUCUUGGGUGCCUUGUUGACGAAGAUGGGCCGUAUGGCCUGCUGCUUAGCCACGCUGUGGGCCGCAGGCAGGCAAGUCUGGGGACCCCCGUUCCUAGAACGCCGACGGCGUGGUUCCGAUAGGUGGUGCUAUCGUACAUCCACGUUGAUGGAGACUUCAACACACGAAGGGUAACGGUUGCGCGAGUCCACGGAGGGCUCCACCCAUGAAGGGUCCACGAAGAAGCAACCUUGUUUAUCCCACCAUGGCCAUCGCCCACGAAGGACUUGCCUCACUAGGGUAGAUCUUCACGAAGUAGGCGAUCUCCUUGCCCGUAAAAACUACUUGGUUCAACUCCACAAUCUUGACGGAGGCUCCCAAGUGACACCUAACCAAUCUAGGAGACACCACUCUCCAAAAGGUAAUAGAUGGUGCGUUGAUGAUGAACUCCUUGCUCUUGUGCUUCAAAUGAUAGUCUCCCCAACAUUCAACUCUCUCUCACAGAUUUGGAUUUGGUGGAAAGAUGAUUUGAGUGGCAAGCAACUUGGGGAAGGCUAGAGAUCAAGAUUCAUAUGGUUGGAAUGGAAUAUCUUGGUCUCAACACAUGAGUAGGUGGUUCUCUCUCAGAAAAUGUAUGCUGGAAGUGUAGGCAUGUUCUGAUGGCUCUCCUCACGAAUGAAGAGUGGAUGGAGGGGUAUAUAUAGCCUCCACACAAAUUCUAACCAUUACACACAAAUCACCAAACUCGGUGGGACCGAAUAAUGAAACUCGGUCAGACCGAUUUAGUUCAAAAUGUGAACGUUAGGAUAUUCGGUGGGACCGACAUGUCAAAUCGGUGGGACCGAUUUCAUUAGGGUUAGAGCAUAACGUAAUCUCGGUGAGACCGAUUACACAAACUCGGUGGGACCGAUUUUGGUAAUAAGCUAACCAGAGAGUUGGUCAGGCAAACUCGGUGGGACCGAUUCGCUCAUCUCGGUGAGACCGAAACGUUAUGAACACUACAGGAAUCAGCUACUUUGUCGUCUACCACGGCAGACGGCAAAGGCAAGGAUGGCGGACGGCAAAGUCCUUUGCCGUCUACCGCGGACGGCAAAAGGCUCCGGCAAAGUAGGCAUCGGUAAAGAGCUUCUUUGCCGUCUGCUUUUUGAAGCGGACGGCAAAGGGGCCUUUGCCAUCAGCGGUGCAUGGCAAAGAAAGCCGACGGCAAUAAAUUCGCUGUUAGUCCGUUAGGUGGCUAACGGCAGUCUUUGCCGUCCGUGGCUGACGGCAAAGAGCAUCAAGCCUUUGCCGUCUGCCGCGGUAGGCAAACUGACCAAAUGGGUCAGCUGCCAGGAAGCACAGGUGGUUGCCACGUGGCUUCUUUGCCGUCCGCCGCGGACGGCAAAGAGCCCGUUGCCGUCGGUGGCAGACGGCAAAGAGCCUGCAUUGCCUCUUUUUUCUGUUUUUUCGUAUACCCAACCAUUUUCACAGCAAAUAGAUGAUACAUAUAUAUUUUUCACAUGGCAAGUUCACAGCAAAAAUAUGAGAUAUCCAACACAUAUAAUUUCAUCAUACAUGCAGAGUUCCAUCAACCAUACAUAGCAAGUUCCACAUACAUGCAUCCAACCAUACAUAUUACAAUAGUGUCAUCCUACCAUACAUGCAUAGUUCAUCGAUACAAAAGAAACAUAGUUCAUCCAAACAAGCACUCCAUCUAUGCUAGCUUCCGUGAAGCGAAUGAAUUCUGCAAAAUGGGAAAUAAGAAAGUUAGAAGAAGAAGAAGAAGAAGAAGAAGAAGAACAAAAUGAAGAAGAAGAAGAAGAAGAAGAAGAAGAAUAUAUGACAUUUAUGAGCUAAUUUAGGUGAAAUUGAUCGUUUGUGAGCUAACUUAGGUGAAAUGGAUCAUUUAUGAGCUAACCUAGGUGAAAUGGAUCGCUUAUGAGCUAACUUAGGUAAAAUGCAUCAUUUUAGAGCUAACCUAGGUAAGAUGGAUCAUUUAUGAGCUAAGUAAGGUAAAAUGGGUCAUUUUAGAGCUAACUUGGGUAAAAUGGAUCAUUUAUGAGCUAAGUAAGGUAAAAUGGGUCAUUUUAGAGCUAACUUGGGUAAAAUGAAUCGUUUAUGAGCUAACUGGAUCAUUUUAGAACUAACUUAGGUAAAAUGGAUCGUUUAUGAGCUAACUAAGCUAAUUAUGCCAUUUUUGACAUAAGUAAGCUAAGUACAUGUCAUUAUUGAGCAAACCUAGUUAACUAAGCAUAUUAGAGCUAAAUUUGGUCAUUUUGGAGGAAACAAAGCUAAGUAUAGAUCGUUUUAGAGCUAACUUAGGUAAAAUGGAUGGUUUUGGAGGUCAGUAAGCUUAUUAAGUCAUUUUGGAGGAAAUAAAGCUAAGUCUAGGUCAUUGUGGUAAGCAUUUUGGAGGAAAUAAGGCUAAGUCUAGGUCUUUAUGCAUUUGUUAAGCAAAACACUAGAGAAACUUACCAUGAUCAUGGAGGUGUAGGAGCGGGCAGGCUCGUGCCGGUAGCUGGAGAAGGAUCGUGCGAUGCUUGUCUGGAGUUACGCUGCACCAAAGAUCAUUUCCAAUGUCUCGUUAGCAUGAUGACACUCAAAUGUUAAGACUAGCAAGUAAUGUCCAUUCAAAUUAAACUCACCGUGGUCCCAGGAGCAAUCACUGGCAUCGGCGGAGCGGUCUGACCAGUCUUCUCGCACACAGACUGCACAUUUGGUUUUGACGACUCAGUCAUACUAGUUAGUAAUGAGACAAACACUACAUGAAUGUUUUGGCUAAUCUGCAGAAGAAACUUACCACAAGGAGCUCGUACAUGGCCCUUUCCUGCAUGUCAUUCCGUGCCCUCUCCUCCUCCAACAUCGUUGUCGUCCUCUCCUCCAACUCCCGCUGCCUCUCCGCCGCCUCCGCCAGAAGUUUCUCCGUUCUAUCUCUCUCACUCUGUAUAGCAGCCUGCAACACCACUCCUCGUUACCAUUUGUAAUCAUUGAUGGAGGCACAGACAAUGUAAUGGAGAAAGAUAACUGAGUACGUAUAACUAACCUUGAUGGCGAGUUGGACUGGCCGUUCACGAGGCCUUAUCUCAGGAGCGGAGCUCGACUGGCGCGCCUUGAUCUCCGGGAGAGUGCUAGGACAACGUAUAAGUCCAUCUCCAAUGGCUAUGGAGCCAUGGGACCUCCCGCCACCAGAUAUCAUCACCAGCUCUGGAUCAAUGGGACCCUGGCUCGGGUUAAAGUCCUCCCCUUUCCUCGCCUUCCCCUCAUCUCUAUAUUUCAUGAGCUUGUCGUGGGAGGAGAUGUUGGUGAAGUUGUUUGCAUCAUCGAGGUCAGAUGGAGAGAAUGCCUUGACUUUCUUGAAAGAGGCAGUGUGGGCCAUGGCAUACAGGUCGUACACCUCUGGCACCUUAUCCGCCUUAUUGUAGCGUGCCCGAAAGAGAGAAACAAAGUAAAUUAGUAAUUAAAGGGCUCAAGCUAGCAUGAUGAAUGAAUUGCAUGAAUCAUGAAGCAAACCACAUACCCAGUUCCACCCGAACUGAUAUAAGUUGGAGCUGCCUUGAUGGUGUGGCACACCUUCCAUUUGGGCACGUUUGUCCUUGGCCGCGUUGUGGACGGCUAGCCAUUCUUUUGAGCACCACUCAUUGACCAACACCUCCCAACAAUCCAUCCGAUCCGCACACCAUCUCGGAGGCGCCUAAGUUAGCAAACAGAAACUUGAGCGCUACGGCUAUGAAUUACUAAAUGAAGGAAGUAAGUACAAGGCCUUAAGAAUUACCUUCAUGUACUGCUCCUUACUCAGGAACUUAUCGCGGCACGCCGGCUUGGGCUUCUUGAAACCAUGCAAGGCGUAGUAGUCUCGAACAGCCUGCACCCGAGCCUCGUGCCGUAAGUUCUGUAGUAGGCGCUUGCAGACGUUCUCGAUAACAUUUGCCGCCCCCUCCUCGUAUCCCUCCUCACACCUGUAGAAUGUCUGCAGUCAAAUGAGACAAUAUUGAUUAGUACAAUUAAUAACUAGCUAGUUGAAGAUUUUUAAAUGUGUAAAGGAGAAAUUACCCAGAACUUUCUGAUCACCACAUCUGCCCUCGUGUCGCACAAGACACCGUCGAUAAUCUCACCCGGCGGGGCCGGGGCAGCCAAGUAGUGCUCCCAGCUCAAUCCAAGCUCUGGAAGCCGACCCUCACCAGGCAACGUGACAAACCCCGGGAAGUUUUGCCGGCAAAGCACUCCAAGGACGGAGUUGGGCCGGCGGACACUAUGAUGGUGGUCCCAACCCCUACAGCAUAACAAGGCCAACGCAUUAGAUAUUUGAAGAAACGUGAAUGCAGAAGUUACAAAAGGAUUAAAUGCACUUACCUCUCCCCAUCAGGGAAAAUCAACCACCUUUGCUCGCGGGUCGCCGGCAUGGACGGGAGCCGUGUACAACCACGCUGGUAGACGGUGCCCCCCUCCUCCUCGAUAUCAGUCGGCUCCCCGCAAUCAUCAGCAUGGCCACUCGGCCCCUCAGGCUCAUCCGGCCAGGUACCCCAUCCAGACAUGUGCUCCUCCGGGGUCUCGUGGGCCGAAGGCGCGUUGAAAGAACAUGCGGUGCCCCCAUGUUUGGUUUUGGUAAUUGAUGACAAUCUCUAUGGACUAAUGGUUGCCUUGAGUUAUAUUUGAAGGAUUUGUCCAUAGGCAUUUCUUGAAGUCCAUGUGUUGGUUUCAAGGAGUUUAUGUGGUGACCAAGGUGUUAUUAAGGAAUUAUCCAAAGAUUGGUCAUGUGAGAGUUGAGCUUAUUGCAAGCAUGUCUUGAAGAAGAAGAUUGUGUGAUCAUUCAUGUUUACCUUCAAGACAUCAUCCAAAAGAAGAGAGUUGGAAAGAGUCAAGCUUGAUCAAGACUAAGUCAAGAGUGAAUCAAGUUGAUCAACACACAAAGCGCACAAGAUGUACCGAGGGAUCAAGCGAUCCCAUGGUAUGGUAAGCAUUGUCAAUUACGCUUUGUGUACUAACCCAUGGUCUUCGUGAGAGUUCUUUGUGGGGUUAGGUUGCGGUGUGCAAGUUCAAGUGAAGCGGGCAAGUUCAAGUAAAGCAUCACGAAGAGAUCAAAUGCUUGAAGCUUGCCAUCCAUUGUGGUGACAAUGGACUUGUGAAGAUGUGCGGAAGGGUGGCUCACCCAUAGUGGAGUAUGGGGGAGCAAUCAACUAGUCUUCAUCGAGCCAACGCAAUCAAGAAAGGUGGUCCAUCUUGAGGGAGUCAAGAUCGUCAUCAUCUAGCUCAAGUGGACCAUGUCCAAGGCAAAGGUUUUCUCUUUAUAGGUUUUCUAUUUUACCGGUCUCAUGAUGGUAGUUGGGAGACCGGGUUAUAGGAUCGAUUGCCGUACUAUCAAGGGGGGGGCUCUCGAUGAGUAGCUUGAUCGUAUCAUUCAUAGAGAGCUCAAACCAUUGCAUCCUUGCAUCAUCUUUCUUGGUUCUUGUUUGGUUCUUCUCUUUGUGAGUUUUGGAGCUUAUGGUCAUCUUGAUGACAAGCUCGAGUUCAUCGAAAACGGAGUUCACUCGCAUCUUCUAUGAUGUUUUCGAUGUUGGAAGGUUAUGCCGGUUCUUCUCGGUUGGAGGUUUCACUCCUCUAUUUGUUGGCAUACCUCCCAUGCUUCUUCUUACUAUAACCAACAAGCUUGAGUUUGCUCAAUUCGGAGCUCAUAUGAAGAAGUUUUGGCAGUUCUGUUUUUCUCCCUGCGGUAGUACCGCCGUGGCAGCGGUAGUACCGCUUGUAGCGUCAAGCGGUAGUACCGCUCCAGUACCGCUCUUCUACUGCCUCGAUUUUGGGUCUGCUCUUUUCGUGUCGGGUUCAGCGGUAGUCGCGUGGCAGUAAGGCACGGUAGUACCGUCUAUAAGCGAUAGUACCGCUACUGCAUUACUGCCACCGUACUCUGCUCUGUCCUGCCUCCUUCUGUCCCGUGUUCUGCUCCUCCAGCGGUAGUACCGCUGGGGUGAGCGGUAGUACCGCUUAUCGGCGGUACUACCGCCCCAAGGUUCUUGGUUUGUUGCUCCUUUUCACUGCUUCUUCCGCCCGAGCGGUUGUACCGCUCGUGGAGCGGUAGUACCGCUCGUGUGCGGGCUGAGCACAUAACGGUUGGAUUUUCCCCCUCCUAUAAAAGGGGGUCUUCUUCCCCAAUGAACCUUAUCCUUUGAGCUCGUGUUCUUCCCCCAUUGUUGACCUUCUUCGAGCUUGCUAACUCUCAAUCCCUCCAUGGAUUCUUGCUAGUUUUUUAGGGAAAAGAGAGAGGAGAUCUAGAUCCACAUUUCCACCAAUCACUUUCUCCUCUAUGUGAGGGAAACCCCUUGGAUCUAGACCUUGGAGUUCUUGGUGUUCUCCUUCUUGUUCUUCCUCUCAUUUUCCUCCCUGGCAUUAGUUGCUUCGGUGGGAUUUGAGAGAGAAGGACUUGGGCACUCCGUGUGCCCUUGCCAUUGCAUUUGGUGCAUCGGUUUGAGUUCUCCACGGUGAUACGUGGAAGUUACAAGUUGAGAAGCUUAUUACUCUUGGGUGCUUGGUACCCUUGAGCUUGUUCCUCUUGGGUGCUUGGGCGCCCUAGACGGUUGGUGGUGUUCGGAGCUCAAUCAUUGUGGUGCAAAGCUCCGGGCAAGCGUCGGGGUCUCCAAUUAGGUUGUGGAGAUCGCCCCGAGCAAUUUGACGAGUACCGGUGACUGCCCCCAAGGGUUGCCAAAGUGUACGGGUUCGGUGACCGCCCCCAAGGGUUGCCAUUUGUACGGGUUCGGUGACCGCCCUCAAGGGUCCCUUAGUGGAAUCACGGCAUCUUGCAUUGUGCGAGGGCGUGAGGAGAUUACGGUGGCCCUAGUGGCUUCUUGGGGAGCAUUGUGCCUCCACACCGCUCCAAACGGAGAUUAGCAUCCGCAAGGGUGUGAACUUCGAGAUACAUCCUCGUCUCCACGUGCCUCGGUUAUCUCUUACCCGAGCUCUUUACUUAUGCACUUUACUUUGUGAUAGCCAUAUUGUUUCUUGUCAUACUAUCACCUAGUAGUUUGUCUUGCUUAGCAUAAGUUGUUGGUGCACAUAGGUGAGCCUAGUUGUUGUAGGUUUUGUGCUUGACAAAUUAACCGCUAGGUUUAUUCCGCAUUUGUUCAAGCCUAAACCGUAAUUAUUUUAAAGCGCCUAUUCACCCCCCCCCCCCUCUAGGCGACAUCCUCGAUCUUUCACGCGUCGACCCAAGGCUCGUGGGCUGAAGGCCCGUCGACCCGAGGCUCGUGAACCGGAGUCCGUGUAGCCUCCUCCUCGGACGAGUCAACCCUAGCAGUCACGUGCUCGGGUGAAACAGCUGGGGGUGGCGGCGAGGAAGGCGCCCUAGCAGUCACCCUACCUCCUCUCCCGCGACCACGUGCUCCAACUCCUCUCUUCUUCCCUCCCUUACCUCGUCCCUUGCUAGGCACCGCUGUCGACGAAGAAGGGCCCGACGGUGUCGCCAUACUGUCCAGCAACGCUCGGCGGAGAGGUGCGUGUGGAAUGGAAGACCUCCCACCACGCGCCGACGAAGAAGGGGCCUCGGAGCGCUCCCGACCAGCGCCCACCAUCUUUCAACACCUGCCAUGACAAAGAGUAAACGAAAUUAGUACAACAUAAAAAAAAUACCGAAAUGAAUAAUUAUAUGUAUAUCACUUAUGUAUCAUCAUCAAGUACAACAUAAAAAAAUUGAAUACCUGACACUACUAAUAAUCUCAAUCACUAUCAUCAAUAAAUGCAUAAUCAUCAUCAUCACUAUAAUCAAUGACGGGCUCAUAGGGUUCAGUGGCAUCAAAUAUAUGACCUAACUCAUAAUUCACAAAUAUAUGACCUCGUCGGCCUCUGGUGUCGUGGGUGUCGUGUCGGGGUCAGGGUGCCGUGUCGGGGUCGGGGUGCUNNNNNNNNNNNNNNNNNNNNNNNNNNNNNNNNNNNNNNNNNNNNNNNNNNNNNNNNNNNNNNNNNNNNNNNNNNNNNNNNNNNNNNNNNNNNNNNNNNNNNNNNNNNNNNNNNNNNNNNNNNNNNNNNNNNNNNNNNNNNNNNNNNNNNNNNNNNNNNNNNNNNNNNNNNNNNNNNNNNNNNNNNNNNNNNNNNNNNNNNNNNNNNNNNNNNNNNNNNNNNNNNNNNNNNNNNNNNNNNNNNNNNNNNNNNNNNNNNNNNNNNNNNNNNNNNNNNNNNNNNNNNNNNNNNNNNNNNNNNNNNNNNNNNNNNNNNNNNNNNNNNNNNNNNNNNNNNNNNNNNNNNNNNNNNNNNNNNNNNNNNNNNNNNNNNNNNNNNNNNNNNNNNNNNNNNNNNNNNNNNNNNNNNNNNNNNNNNNNNNNNNNNNNNNNNNNNNNNNNNNNNNNNNNNNNNNNNNNNNNNNNNNNNNNNNNNNNNNNNNNNNNNNNNNNNNNNNNNNNNNNNNNNNNNNNNNNNNNNNNNNNNNNNNNNNNNNNNNNNNNNNNNNNNNNNNNNNNNNNNNNNNNNNNNNNNNNNNNNNNNNNNNNNNNNNNNNNNNNNNNNNNNNNNNNNNNNNNNNNNNNNNNNNNNNNNNNNNNNNNNNNNNNNNNNNNNNNNNNNNNNNNNNNNNNNNNNNNNNNNNNNNNNNNNNNNNNNNNNNNNNNNNNNNNNNNNNNNNNNNNNNNNNNNNNNNNNNNNNNNNNNNNNNNNNNNNNNNNNNNNNNNNNNNNNNNNNNNNNNNNNNNNNNNNNNNNNNNNNNNNNNNNNNNNNNNNNNNNNNNNNNNNNNNNNNNNNNNNNNNNNNNNNNNNNNNNNNNNNNNNNNNNNNNNNNNNNNNNNNNNNNNNNNNNNNNNNNNNNNNNNNNNNNNNNNNNNNNNNNNNNNNNNNNNNNNNNNNNNNNNNNNNNNNNNNNNNNNNNNNNNNNNNNNNNNNNNNNNNNNNNNNNNNNNNNNNNNNNNNNNNNNNNNNNNNNNNNNNNNNNNNNNNNNNNNNNNNNNNNNNNNNNNNNNNNNNNNNNNNNNNNNNNNNNNNNNNNNNNNNNNNNNNNNNNNNNNNNNNNNNNNNNNNNNNNNNNNNNNNNNNNNNNNNNNNNNNNNNNNNNNNNNNNNNNNNNNNNNNNNNNNNNNNNNNNNNNNNNNNNNNNNNNNNNNNNNNNNNNNNNNNGGCGGGUGGCUGGUGGCGGGGGCGGCGGUGGGUGGCGGUGGUCGUCGGGGUGGGGAGGAACAGAAAGAGAGAGAGGGAGGGAGCGGGGUGGGGGACGGCCGUUAGUUAGGUUGUCUCUUUGCCAUCCGCCCCCCUUUGUCGUCCGCUUCUUUGCUCUUUGCCGUCUGCUAGCAGACGGCAAAGAGGGGGUCAUUAGGUUUUUUUCUAAGCAGCUCGUUAGUGGGGCCCACCUCUCUCUUUGUCGUCCGCCAACUGACGGCAAAGAUUCUUUGCCGUCCACCAGUAGACGGCAAAGAAUUGGCUGAUGGCAAAGUCAUUCUUUGCCAUCAGCCAGUUCUUUGCCGUCUGUUUUUUUCAAGCUGACGGCAAAGACCUUCUUUGCCGUCCGCCAGCAGACGGCAAAUAAGCAAAUUCCAGUAGUGGAAGGGGAAACAGAGAGUUUGCAUUGUGAACUCGGUGGGACCAAUCGCUCAUCUCGGUUGGACCGAAACGUUAUGAAGGGAAACAGAGAGUUUGCAAUCCCAUCUCGGUGAGACUGAGAUCCCUAUCGGUGAGACCGAAGUGGCUAGGGUUUGUGGCAGUGGUUAUGUCAAGUGAACUCGGUGGCGUCGGAUAGAAUGUUUCGGUGGGGCCGAGUUUGACUUUUGCUUUGGGACAUAUGUGGAUAUGAGAAAGUAGUUGAAGGGUUUUGGAGCAUAUCACUAAGCAUUUUGAGCAAGCAACCCAUUAAGCAACACCUCAUCCCCUUUUAAUAGUAUUGGCUUUUCCUAUGGACUCAAUGUGAUCUUGGAUCACUAAAAGUAAAAUGUAGAGUCUUGAGCUUUAGAGCUUGAGCCAAUCUUUUGUCCUUAGCAUUUUGAGGGGUCCACAUUCCUGAUCCAUGCCAUGCCAAUCAUUGAACUUUCCUGAAAUAUUUAUCUUGAAAUAGCAUUAGCUCAAUGAGCUAUAUAUUGUUAGGAAUUACCAAAACCACCCAUGUAUAGUUGCACUUUCACUUAUAUACACGCUAGGUAGGGCAUCUAGGAUUACAAGGUCGCUAACUUGGAGUGGAGGCGGCAUGAGAAGUCUUGGAGUAUACGUCAAGUCUUCGGCAGGGGCAGUCUUGUUCUUACAUCCAGCAUGCGGCUUUCGGAGUCCAACUUAGGGAGGAUUUGGGCCCACUGGCCUAGCUCGAGGAAUAAGUGCCGACUAGGUUAGAACUCCUGAGUCCAGGACACCUUCAGCCGCUUUGAGUGAUUGAUUGAGAAGUGUAAUUGGAGCAACCCAUACUCUGAAGAACUUGAGAGAAUUCUAAGUGAGGAAAAACCCAAACAACCACAUCCAAAUUAAUGAGUAUCAUUGAUGAGAUUGUCCUGUGUGAUACUAAAGGAAAUAUGCCCUAGAGGCAAUAAUAAAGUUAUUAUUUAUUUCCUUAUUUCAUGAUAAAUGUUUAUUAUUCAUGCUAGAAUUGUAUUAACCGGAAACUUAGUACAUGUAUGAAUACAUAGACAAACAGAGUGUCACUAGUAUGCCUCUACUUGACUAGCUUGUUGAAUCAAAGAUGGUUAAGUUUCCUAGCCAUGGACAUGAGUUGUCAUUUGAUUAACGGUAUCACAUCAUUAGAGAAUGAUGUGAUUGACUUGACCCAUUCCGUUAGCUUAGCACUUGAUCGUUUAGUAUGUUGCUAUUGCUUUCUUCAUUACUUAUACAUGUUCCUCUGACUAUGAGAUUAUGCAACUCCCGAAUAGCGGAGGAACACUUUGUGUGCUACCAAACGUCACAACGUAACUGGGUGAUUAUAAAGGUGCUCUACAUGUGUCUCCGAUGGUACUUGUUGAGUUGGCAUAGAUCGAGAUUAGGAUUUGUCACUCCGAUUGUCGGAGAGGUAUCUCUGGGCCCUCUCGGUAAUGCACAUCACUAUAAGCCUUGCAAGCAAUGUGACUAAUGAGUUAGUUGCGGGAUGAUGCAUUAUGGAACGAGUAAAGAGACUUGCCGGUAACGAGAUUGAACUAGGUAUUGAGAUACUGACGACCGAAUCUCGGGCAAGUAACAUACCGAUGACAAAGGGAACAACGUAUGCUGUUAUGCGGUUUGACCGGUAAAGAUCUUCGUAGAAUAUGUAGGAGCCAAUAUGAGCAUCCAGGUUCCGCUAUUGGUUAUUGACCGGAUACGAGUCUCGGUCAUGUCUACAUAGUUCUCGAACCCGUAGGGUCCGCACGCUUAACGUUCGGUGACGAUUGGUAAUAUGAGUUUAUGUGUUUUGAUGUACCGAAGGUAGUUCGGAGUCCCGGAUACGAUCACGGACAUGACGAGGAGUCUCUAAAUGGUCGAGACAUAAAGAUCGAUAUAUUGGAUGACUAUGUUUGGACUUUGGAAGGGUUCCAAGCAAGUUCGGACAAAUACCGGAGUGCCGGGGGGUUACCGGAACCCCCGGGGAGUGUAAUGGGCCUAUGGGCCUUAGUGGAGAAGAGGAGGGGCGGCCAGGGCCCAGGGCAGACCGCGCGCCCCCUCCCCCUCUAGUCCGAAUUUAACAAGGAGGGGGCGGCGCCCCCCUUUCCUUCCCCCUCUCUCCUCCUUCCCUCUCUCCUACUCCUACACUUGGAAGGGUUGGAGUCCUACUCCCGAUGGGAGUAGGACUCCCCUUGGGGCGCGCCUAGGAGGGCCGGCCCCUCCCCCUCCUCCACUCCUUUAUAUACAGGGGACGGGGGCACCCCAUAGACACACAAGUUGAUCAGUUGAUCUUUUAGCCGUGUGCGGUGCCCCCCUCCACCAUAAUCCACCUCGGUCAUAUCGUAGCGGUGCUUAAGCGAAGCCCUGCGUCGGUAGCAUCAUCAUCACCAUCAUCACGCCGUCGUGCUGACGGAACUCUCCCUCGAAGCUCUGUUGGAUCGUGAGUUCGAGGGACGUCAUCGAGCUGAACGUGUGCUGAACUCGGAGGUGCCGUGCGUUCGGUACUUGGAUCGGUCGGAUCGUGAAGACGUACGACUACAUCAACCGCGUUGUCAUAACGCUUCCGCUUUCGGUCUACGAGGGUACAUAGACAACACUGUCCCCUCUCGUUGCUAUGCAUCACCAUGAUCUUGCGUGUGCGUAGGAAUUUUUUUGAAAUUACUACGUUCCCCAACAGUGGCAUCCGAGCCAGGUUUAUGUGUAGAUGUUAUAUGCACGAGUAGAACACAAGUGAGUUGUGGGCGAUACAAGUCAUACUGCUUACCAGCAUGUCACACUUUGAUUCGGCGGUAUUGUUGGAUGAAGUGGCCCGGACCGACAUUACGCGUACGCUUACGCGAGACUGAUUCUACCGACGUGCUUCGCACACAGGUGGCUGGCGGGUGUCAGUUUCUCCAACUUUAGUUGAAUCAAGUGUGGCUACGCCCGGUCCUUGAGAAGGUUAAAACAGCACAUACUUGAUGAAAUAUCGUUGUGGUUUUCAUGCGUAGGUAAGAAUGGUUCUUGCUCAGCCCGUAGCAGCCACGUAAAACUUGCAACAACAAAGUAGAGGACGUCUAACUUGUUUUUGCAGGGCAUGUUGUGAUGUGAUAUGGUCAAGACAUGAUGUUAAAUUUUAUUGUAUGAGAUGAUCAUGUUUUGUAACAGAGUUAUCGGCAACUGGCAGGAACCAUAUGGUGUUGCUUUAUUGUAUGAAAUGCAAUCGCCAUGUAAUUGCUUUACUUUAUCACUAAGCGGUAGCGAUAGUCGUAGAAGCAAUAGUUGGCGAGAUUACAACGAUGCUACAAUGGAGAUCAAGGUGUCGUGCCGGUGACGAUGGUGAUCAUGACGGUGCUUUGGAGAUGGAGAUCAAAGGCACAAGAUGAUGAUGGCCAUAUCAUAUCACUUAUAUUGAUUGCAUGUGAUGUUUAUCUUUUAUGCAUCUUAUUUUGCUUAGAUCGACGGUAGCAUUAUAAGAUGAUCUCUCACUAAAUUUCAAGGUAUAAGUGUUCUCCCUGAGUAUGCACCGUUGUGAAAGUUCGUCGUGCCGAGACACCACGUGAUGAUCGGGUGUGAUAAGCUCUACAUUCACAUACAACGGGUGCAAGCCAGUUUUGCACGCGCAGAAUACUCGGGUUAAACUUGAUGAGCCUAGCAUAUGCAGAUAUGGCCUCGGAACACUGAGACCGAAAGGUUGAGCGUGAAUCAUAUAGUAGAUAUGAUCAACAUAGUGAUGUUCACCAUUGAAAACUACUCCAUCUCACGUGAUGAUCGGACAUGGUUUAGUUGAUAUGGAUCACGUGAUCACUUAGAUGAUUAGAGGGAUGUAUAUCUAAGUGGGAGUUCUUAAGUAAUAUGAUUAAAUUGAACUUUAAUUUAUCAUGAACUUAGUCCUGAUAGUAUUUGCAUAACUAUGUUGUAGAUCAAUAGCUCGCGAUGUAGCUCCCCGUUUUAUUUUUGAUAUGUUCCUAGAGAAAACUAAGUUGAAAGAUGUUAGUAGCAAUGAUGCGGAUUGGAUCCGUGAUUUGAGGAUUAUCCUCAUUGCUGCACAGAAGAAUUAUGUCCUUGAUGCACCGCUAGGUGACAGACCGAUUGCAGGAACAGAUGCAGACGUUAUGAACGUUUGGCAAGCUCGAUAUGAUGACUACUUGAUAGUUUAGUGCACCAUGCUUUACGGCUUAGAAUCGGGGCUUCAAAGACGUUUUGAACGCCACGGAGCAUAUGAGAUGUUCCAAGAGUUGAAAUUAGUAUUUCAGACUCAUGCCCAUGUCGAAAGGUAUGAGACCUUUGACAAGCAUUUUGCCUACAAGAUGGAGGAGAAUAGCUCAGCUAGUGAGCAUGUGCUCAGAAUGUCUGAGUACUACAAUCACUUGAAUCAAGUGGGAGUUAAUCUUCCAGAUAAGAUAGUGAUUGACAUAGUUCUCUAGUCACUAUCACCAAGUUACUAGAACUUCGUGAUGAACUAUAAUAUGCAAGGGAUAAUGGAAACGAUUCCCAAACUCUUCAUGAUGCUGAAAUCGAUGAAGGUAGAAAUCAAGAAAAGCAUCAAGUGUUGAUGGUUGACAAGACCACUAGUUUCAAGAAAAGGGCAAAGGGAAGAAGGGGAACUUCAAGAAGAACGGCAAGCAACUUGAUGCUCAAGUGAAGAAGCCCAAGUCUGGACCUAAGCCUGAGACUAAGUGCUUCUACUGCAAAGGGACUGGUCACUGGAAGCAGAACUGCCCCAAGUAUUUGGCGGAUCAGAAGGAUGGCAAAGUGAACAAAGGUAUAUUUGGUAUACAUGUUAUUGAUGUGUACUUUACUAGUGUUUAUAGAAACCCCUCAGUAUUUGAUACUAGUUCAGUUGCUAAGAUUAGUAACUCGAAACAGGAGUUGCAGAAUGAACAGAGACUAGUUAAGGGUGAAGUGAUGAUGUGUGUUGGAAGUGGUUCCAAGAUUGAUAUGAUCAUCAUCGCACACUCCCUAUACUUUCGGGAUUAGUGUUGAACCUAAAUAAAUGUUAUUUGGUGUUUGCGUUAAGCAUGAAUAUGAUUGGAUCAUGUUUAUUGCAAUACAGUUAUUCAUUUAAUGUCAGAGAAUAAUUGUUGUUCUGUUUACAUGAAUAAAACUUUCAAUGGUCAUACACCCAAGGUGAAUGGUUUAUUGAAUCUCGAUCGUAGUGAUACACUUAUUCAUAAUAUUGAAGCCAAAAAUGCAGAUUUAAUAAUGAUAGUGCAACUUAUUUAUGGCACUACCGUUUAGGUCAUAUUGGUGUAAAGCGCAUGAAGAAAAUCCAUGCUGAUGGGCUUUUGGAAUCACUUGAUUAUGAAUCAGUUGAUGCUUGCGAACCAUGCCUCAUGGGCAAGAUGACUAAGACUCCGUUCUCCGGGACAAUGGAGCGAGCAACAGACUUGUUCCAAAUAAUCAAAUAAUACAUACUGAUGUAUGCAGUCCGAUGAGUGUUGAGGCUCGCGGCAGGUAUCAUUAUUUUCUGACCUUCACAGAUGAUUUGAGCAGAUAUGGGUAUAUCUAUUUGAUGAAACAUAAAUCUGAAACAUUUGAAAAGUUCAAAUAAUUUCAGAGUGAAGUGGAAAAUCAUCGUAACAAGAAAAUAAAGUUUCUACGAUCUGAUCGUGGAGGAGAAUAUUUGAGUUACGAGUUUGGUCUUCAUUUGAAACAAUGCGGAAUAGUUUCGCAACUCACGCCACCUGGAACACCACAGCGUAAUGGUGUGUCCGAACAUCGUAAUCGUACUUUAUUAGAUAUGGUGCAAUCUAUGAUGUCUCUUACCGAUUUACCACUAUCGUUUUGGGGUUACACAUUAGAGACAGAUGCAUUCACGUUAAAUAGGGCAACAUCUAAAUCCGUUGAGACGACACCAUAUGAACUGUGGUUUGGCAAGAAACCAAAGUUGUCGUUUCUUAAAGUUUGGGGUUAUGAUGCUUAUGUGAAAAAAAAUCAUCCUGAUAAGCUCAAACCCAAAUCGGAGAAAUGUGUCUUCAUAGGAUACCCAAAGGAGACAGUUGGGUACACCUUCUAUCACAGAUCCGAAGGCAAGACAGUCAUUGCUAAGAAUGGAUCCUUUCUAGAGAAGGAGUUUCUCUCGAAAGAAGUGAGUGGGAGGAAAGUAGAACUUGACGAGGUAACUGUACCUUCUCCCGAAUUGGAAAGCAGUUCAUCACAGAAAUCAGUUCCAGUGAUGCCUACACCAAUUAGUGAGGAAGUUAAUGAUGAUGAUCAUGUAACUUCAGAUCAAGUUACUACUGAACCUCGUAGGUCAACCAGAGUAAGAUCCGCACCAGAUUGGUACGGUAAUCCUGUUCUGGAGGUCAUGUUACUUUGACCAUGACGAACCUACGAACUAUGAGGAAACGAUGAUGAGCCUAGAUUCCGCGAAAUGGCUUGAGGCCAUGAAAUCUGAGAUGGGAUCCAUAUAUGAGAACAAAGUAUGGACUUUAGUUGACUUGCCCGGUGAUCGGCAAGUCAUUGAGAAUAAAUGGAUUUUCAAGAGGAAGACGAACGAUGAUAGUAGUGUUACUAUCUACAAAGCUAGACUUGUCGAAAAAGGUUUUUGACAAAGUUCAAGGUGUUGACUACGAUGAGAUUUUCUCACUCGUAGCGAUGCUUAAAGUCUGUCCGAAUCAUGUUAGCAAUUGCCACAUUUUAUGAAAUCUGAAAAAUAGAUGUCAAAAUUGUCUUCCUUAAAUGGAUUUAUUAAAGAAGAGUUGUAUAUGAUGCAACUAGAAGGUUUUGUCGAUCCUAAAAGUGCUAACAAAGUGUGCAAGCUCCAGUGAUCCAUUUAUGGACUAGUGCAAGCCUCUCGGAGUUGGAAUAUACGCUUUGAUAGUGUGAUCAAAGCAUAUGGUUUUAUACAGACUUGCGGUGAAGCCUGUAUUUACAAGAAAGUGAGUGGGAGCACUACAGCCUUUCUGAUAAGUAUAUGUGAGUGACAUAUUGUUGAUCGGAAAUGACGUAGAAUUUUUUGGAAAGCAUAAAGGAGUGUUUGAAAGAAGUUUUUCAAAGAAAGACCUCGAUGAAGCUGCUUACAUAUUGAGCAUCAAGAUUUAUAAAGAUAGAUCAAGACGCUUGAUAAGUUUUUUCAAUGAGUACAUACCUUGACAAAUUUUUGAAGUAUUUCAAAAUGGAACAGUCAAAGAAGGAGUUCUUGCCUGUAUUGCAAGGUGGGAAAUUGAGUAAGACUCAAAGCCCGACCACGGCAGAAGAUAGAAAGAGAAUGAAAGUCAUUCCCUAUGCCCCAGCCAUAGGUUCUAUAAAGUAUGCCAUGUUGUGUACCAGAUCUAUUGUAUACCCUACACUGAGUUUGGCAAGGGAGUACAAUAGUGAUCUAGGAGUAGAUCACUGGACAGCGGUCAAAAUUAUCCUUAGUGGAAUAAGGAUAUGUUUCUCGAUUAUGGAGGUGACAAGAGGUUCGUCGUAAAGGGUUACGUCGAUGCAAGUUUUGACACUGGUCCAGAUGACUCUAAGUCUCAAUCUGGUACAUAUUGAAAGUGGGAGAAAUUAGCUAGAGUAGCUCCGUGCAGAGCAUUGUUGACAUAGAAAUUUGCAAAAUACACACGGAUCUGAAUAUGGCAGACCCGUUGACUAAACUUCUCUCACAAGCAAAACAUGAUCACACCUUAGUACUCUUUGGGUGUUAAUCACAUGGCAAUGUGAACUAAGAUUAUUGACUCUAGUAAACCCUUUGAGUGUUGUUCACAUGGCGAUGUGAACUAUGGGUGUUAAUCACAUGGUGAUAUGAACUAUUGGUGUUAAAUCACAUGGCAAUGUGAACUAGAUUAUUGACUCUAGUGCAAGUGGGAGACUGAAGAAAAUAUGCCCUAGAGGCAAUAAUAAAGUUAUUAUUUAUUUCCUUAUUUCAUGAUAAAUGUUUAUUAUUCAUGCUAGAAUUGUAUUAACCGGAAACUUAGUACAUGUGUGAAUACAUAGACAAACAGAGUGUCACUAGUAUGCCUCUACUUGACUAGCUCGUUGAAUCAAAGAUGGUUAAGUUUCCUAGCCAUGGACAUGAGUUGUCAUUUGAUUAACGGGAUCACAUCAUUAGAGAAUGAUGUGAUUGACUUGACCCAUUCUGUUAGCUUAGCACUUGAUCGUUUAGUAUGUUGUUAUUGCUUUCUUCAUGACUUAUACAUGUUCCUAUGACUAUGAGAUUAUGCAACUCCCGAAUAGCGGAGGAACACUUUGUGUGCUACCAAACGUCACAACGUAACUGGGUGAUUAUAAAGGUGCUCUACAGGUGUCUCCGAUGGUACUUGUUGAGUUGGCAUAGAUCGAGAUUAGGAUUUGUCACUCCGAUUGUCGGAGAGGUAUCUCUGGGCCCUCUCGGUAAUGCACAUCACUAUAAGCCUUGCAAGCAAUGUGACUAAUGAGUUAGUUGCGGGAUGAUGCAUUACGGAACGAGUAAAGAGACUUGCCAGUAACGAGAUUGAACUAGGUAUUGAGAUACCGACGAUCGAAUCUCGGGCAAGUAACAUACGAUGACAAAGGGAACAACGUAUGUUGUUAUGCGGUUUGACCGAUAAAGAUCUUCGUAGAAUAUGUAGGAGACAAUAUGAGCAUCCAGGUUCCGCUAUUGGUUAUUGACCGGAGACGAGUCUCGGUCAUGUCUACAUAGUUCUCGAACCCGUAGGGUCCGCACGCUUAACGUUCGGUGACGAUCGGUAAUAUGAGUUUAUGUGUUUUGAUGUACCGAAUGUAGUUCGGAGUCCCGGAUAUGAUCACAGAAAUGACGAGGAGUCUUGAAAUGGUCGAGACAUAAAGAUCGAUAUAUUGGAUGACUAUGUUUGGACUUCGGAAGGGUUCCGAGCAAGUUCGGACAAAUACCGGAGUACCGGGGGGUUACCGGAACCCCCCGGGGAGUGUAAUGGGCCUAUUGGGCCUUAGUGGAGAAGAGGAGGGGCGGCCAGGGCAGGCCGCACGCCCCCUCCCCCUCUAGUCCGAAUUGGACAAGGAGGGGGGCGGCGCCCCCCUUUCCUUCCCCCUCUCUCCUCCUUCCCUCUCUCCUACUCCUACUCUUGGAAGGGUUGGAGUCCUACUCCCGGUGGGAGUAGGACUCCCCUUGGGGCGCGCCUAGGAGGGUCGGCCCCUCCCCCUCCUCCACUCCUUUAUAUACGGGGGAGGGGGGCACCCCAUAGACACACAAGUUGAUCAGUUGAUCUUUUAGCCGUGUGCGGUGCCCUCCUCCAUCAUAAUCCACCUCGGUCAUAUCGUAGCGGUGCUUAAGCGAAGCCCUGCGUCGGUAGCAUCAUCAUCACCGUCAUCACGCCGUCGUGCUGACGGAACUCUCCCUCGAAGCUCUGCUGGAUCGUGAGUUCGAGGGACGUCAUCGAGCUGAACGUGUGCUGAACUCGGAGGUGCCGUGCGUUCGGUACUUGGAUCGGUCGGAUCAUGAAGACAUACGACUACAUCAACCGCGUUGUCAUAACGCUUCCGCUUUCGGUCUACGAGGGUACGUAGACAACACUCUCCCCUCUCGUUGCUAUGCAUCACCAUGAUCUUGCGUGUGCGUAAGAAUUUUUUUGAAAUUACUACGUUCCCCAACAGAUACGACGGUUGUUACCUUUGAAGACUGUGAUCACCUAGACGGUUAGACGUCAUGUUUUGAGAAUCCAAGAAGAAAUCGUGGAGUGCCAUAGAACGACUAUGUGAAGGUUUUGGAAGUCUACCUUGAAGACUUACCAUAAAUGAUUGGGUGAGGUCUAAGUGAUCUUAGCUCAAGGGGAAUAAGGUGAAGACUAAGAGCCUUCAGAGUUAAAUCUCAAGUUUCCCUAACCAGACGUACAGUUUUCAUAGCAACUGGAACUGGUCAAUCAAACUCAUUGUCUUCACGAAGCUACCAUGGUUCCAAUUCCCCGGCACUUUACUUUCGGUACAUCAGUGUUGAAGAAUUUGACUCUCACCCAUGAAUACUUUGACUUGAAGACUUUCAUCAUGAUACUUUUCUUUCUCUUUCAGUUUGUCGUUCUUAAGGUUGUUUAUUCUUAUGUUCGCUUGUUCUUCAUAUACUGGUACUUAGUAUGCUUGCUUAGUUCCGUUCUGAUGACUUUGUCCUCAUUCUGAAUUGCAUGUUAGUGUAGUUUUCAUUCCGUCACGUAUUUCUUCACCCUGUUAUUUUUCGAAGAACUCGUGUCCUUGAAGAAUUUAUUAAAAUCUCCCAUUCACCUCCGUCUGGUCGAUAACUUGCACUUUCAGCCAUCCACCACCCAGCAACAACACACGAAAGGUACCCGGCAUAACCGACCCAACGUGGGCCAACAACCGAGUAAGGCACGACUACACCCACGAUGACUAGUCGAAGAAAACACACACGCAGGGGCAAUGAAUAAACGCUACAAAAUGUGGCCUCGGGUGUGCCCGUGUUCCACAGGUCAUUGAGGUCUGAGGCCAUCGGGGAGGUCACACAAGUAAAACCCCGAUUGAAUGGGGGUAAAGGUGCCAGGCGGGCAUCAGCGCAGGGCACGCAAGGGCGCGCAUGCACCGGGAGGCGGGUACUUUAGCAUCAUUUAAAGGAGUAAUGUGUUUUCCCUCAUCUAUGCAAAUAUUAAUCUAAGUGAGGCUCCCGGAUACUCUCUCAUCUCAUAUGUGCAUCUCAAACUCCCAUUCAUCUCUUUAAUUUGAGAGAGGUUUAAAAGGCCUUCCAAAUCAACUGAAUAAUCGCAGGGGUCGGGAGAAAGGGGGGUCCAAUCUUUCCCGCCACCUGAUGGUGUUUCUCGCCAAAACUCGUUGUCGACACCUCUCCCUCUCCCACCCCUCUCCGCUAGGGAGCCCCAGCUCCAGGUUGGCCCACUGUGUCCUAGUGCGGCAAGCGUAGCUCACAAGGUGAGGUACAUAGGCAUCCCUCGCCAUAUGUCCUUUGAUGGUAUGACAUUGCCUCUCCUCCAGCUCCGGACAACUCCCCGCGAUCCUUGUGGAUCUCAGGAUCAAGGACAACGAUGACCUCCACUAUGGCCCUCCAUCCCUGCCACGAACGCCUCCCCCUCCGCCUCGCCACACAACAAGUCAACUUCAAGGGGCAGAUGCAUGACGCCUCAAAGCAGAGGACCACCCCGACCUUGACGCAUCACCCCAGAUAAGUCGCACACCCCGCCGCCAAUAGUUGUCUUCGACGACCAUAAUGCAGGUUUGUUUUUUUCCUUCUUCUUUUAAUUCAGCCAUGUGUACAUGAGAUUGGAGAUGAGCAUGAUCUGCGCAAAUGUUGUAUGGGGUACUAUGUACAUGAACUUUAUAUGCACAUUUUCCCAAACCUUUUUGCAAUGCUUGUUGCAUAUGUAGGAACAUGUAGAUAACCAAGAGAACUUCGUGGUAAACUUGAUCAAUCUAGGAUUCGAGGUUGGAUGAUAUAUUUUCUGCCAAUGUCAACUAUCUUUUGGAAAUGGUUUUGUCAAUUGUUCCGUUAUUUUGGUAAGCACUUGAUAGUUACUUUUUUGUUAUGCCAAAUUAUAUGCUAAACAAUGUCCGAACAUGUUGUUAACACAGUGGUUGAAAUUACAUAUAUUCAUGCGUCAAUCUCAAAGUUAUUCAUCUAGUAUCAUUAUUAUUCUGGAUUUAUCCUUGGGUAUAUGUGCCAUGAAAGAAUAUAUAUCAUCCAAUUCCAAGAACAACAAAAGGGGAGGGUUGUUGAUGGUGACUGUGUUCUCGUCUGCUCCAGUACAUUCUCUUCCAAGCACGUAUAUCAAGCCAUUUCCUCUCAGUUUCUCAGUUUUUUGAUAAACAGUGGAUUUUACUGACUCAAAAUAAAACAUCAAGGAAUUACAAACGCAAUGAGCACAUACACGACCUCUGCAUAACACCAACGCACGCACACGCACACACAAAAGAAAAAAAACACCGACAAAGAGAAUUCAUAUAAGAUCAAAGCUAUCCCUAUGAGAGGAAAAAAGAAAAAAAGUCCCUGAAGUGACAGAAGCAGCUGCAGAUGGCAAAAACGUUGCAGCAAGUAAACAAACUUAUCAUCCUCGGACAGAACUACAGCCGAACUGUUUUUCGAUUCGAAGAUCACGCUAAUAUACUCGCGGUGUCACCUUACUUAUCUGCAAAGUAACAGGAGUAGUAUAAUACCAUAUCCAUGGAAUAUAUUCGACAGAGUCGUAUGAUUGCCUUGCGCUGUUACCAGGACAGGUACAUGACUUGGCCGCAUCUGGAAGCGAACUGUGUCAUCGUAUUCCAGCGACCUCGGCUGCCCGGCUCGGCUCAGCCAACCACCUUUCGCACCGCACCGACGACAUAACACAUCACAUCCAUUUUCCUCCAACAAAACGGGACAAGUGUGUAAUCGUAGGACGAACGCAAACAUGGCUGAAACAAGACCGGUGUACAACCAUGCCCAAUGUGCAGGGAGCAUGUGGGACAGGGGUACUCCAUCAAAACUAAUAAGAACACCAAACAAUGGAAUUCCACAAGGAACUUUUUAGUACCCGGAGUUCCAUUUCCACAGAAAUAUCGUUGGAAUUCUCUAAGCCUUGUUCGGUUGCGUGUGAAUCCAAGUGGAUUGAAAGGGUUUGAGGGGUUUUCAAACCUAUUUAGAAGUCAAAAUACGAACCAAUCCUUGCCAAUCCCCUCCAAUCCUCUUGGGGAGAGGAUUAACCGAACAAGCCCUAACUGGAGUACCCGGAGCUGCUGCACCAGGUGUAUUUCCCGAAGACUUACUCCAAUACAGAAUAUAUCCCUAAAAGAUUUCGGUUGGAGCUGGCAUAUGCCAAACAUGAAUACCAUCUGAACUCCUGAUGCUACUGAUAUAACACCUGGCAUGUAUACCCAGUCCUGAGUGAAAAAGACACCGCAAGCAUGAUCCUUAUCAACAAAAUAGUCACGCAAUAAAUCAACAAAACCCAAAGUCAUUCCACGUUCCCCUUGCAAGGGAGCCAACGUGGGCAAUCAUCUGUGGAGGCCAGACAUACACCCACAAGCAAGAUUGCAAUAGACAUAUCUCGGCAAAUGCUAGGCAAUAAAAGAUGCAUCAGGCAAACACAGGCUAAUAACGAUAUAGAGAUAGAUAGAUAGAUAGCAAUGGCACUUGCAGCCAAUGUGUAUGUACAGCAAAAGACCAGGCCACAUAAAUAGCAGCGAUCUAAGUUGAUGGUCGCCAUGUUCGCCAACACUAGAGAGCACACCUAAAAGGCUUCUAAGACUAGUAUGUACAGGCAAGGAUAGAUAAGGCUGGUGUGGCGGGGAACCCUCUGCUUUCUUCCCCUCCUAUCAUCAGCUCCACACCCGAUCAUGUUGUAAGUUUAGCGAGCCGCCCACAUCUACGUAUCUUGUUUCCCUACAUGAUAAUACUUACAAAACCACGCGCGAGUUUCUGCUGCGUGUGGCGCGGGCAGCCAGCGUCAGUAUCUGUUUCCAGUCAGGACAGGUGGAAGGACCCCUGCCCCUCAGUAAUCGCGUAGAGUAGCUUCUCCCUCAUCCUUUCCUGAAGGGCAAAAGGCUUGGUGUUAGUACACCAAUGUACGGUAACUUUCAGGAAACUCAAACGUAUAGUAACUGGAACUGACUACUGCAAAUAAUCAUGCCAGAAAAGGCAUGUUCAGAAUGCCAAUUACUACUGACUUGGAUGUGCGCUUCAUAGUCCAUAGUUUCUUUUAGCUUAUAAGUGUUACAUCAAGACAUUAAAGCGCUUAUCUUAAUUAAUAAAAAUAUUAAUAAGAAUAGAAGUAAACUAAUCUACCAAGAUGUUCUCAGUUUAGGUAGCAGAAAGGUAGAGAGCUCAAACCUUAGAGCAGUAGGCAGGUAACUUAAGAUAGUUAGCGCAAGUCAUCACACUUGGCAGAUCAUCAUCAGCAUCGUUGUUGCUAUGCUGUUAAUUGUAUAGCACAAGUUAGCAAUCUAGUAAAAAGUAACUGAUAGAGAGAUAGAGAGGUAGCUUUAAAUUGUGAAAACAGACCUUCCUGACAACUGUCAAAUUUGGAUUCAGUGCAGCCAGACCGCCUGGAGGGAGCCGAGGUGAACCAGUUAUAAAUUGCAAGAAAGCUCUGCGUUCAUGGCAUCCAAACUCUUGUAUGAUCUCUAACAACUGCAGCGCAUUAAGAUUUCUUGUUAUGGUACUUAGAUACUAUUUUUCUUGGAAAAUGGAACUUCAAAAUGUAUCUACUAAUAAAAGACUUACAUUAAGGACUGCAGGACUGCUGGAGGUGUAGCCAUGAUCAAAUUUUAUGUGAUCCACAAGUUUCACAAACUGUUCAGAAGCAAGGUGUCAAUAACGAAAAAACGAAUAUUUACAAGAAAAUCAACAACUUCCAACAAAAGUAAUCUUGUUCGACACAGUGUAAUCUUGUUCUCCGCAUAUUUACAAGAAAAGGCACAUACAUCCCAGUUAUCUUGUUCUCCGCAGAGUAAUCUCUCCAGCUCAUCCUCUGAGAAUGCCCGAAGUGUGCUUAGUGAAAAUACCUGCAAAACCCAGUGUAAGUGUAGCACAACAAAUUGGAUUUUUUAAACUACGAGCAGUAAGAGACAACACCAGAGAAGAGUGAAAAAUGUAUAAUGAGAAGUGAAACAUCGAGUUCAUGUCACCCUAUUGGCCCCAUGUGAGGUUCAUGAGUUACAAAUCAAAGCAACCUAGCGCCUAUAUACACCUGAACAAACAGAUGAGGAAGCUCUGGUAAAAAAAGGACGAAGGGCGAGUCAAUCGCCAAAUCAAAAUGAUUGCCAUCAGAAACAGUUAGAAGUGUAUACAUAUUGGAUUAAGACUACUUAAGAAAUAGUACAUAGGGUUAUUAAAUGAGGAAUUGCUUUUGCAUUGUCUAAUUAACGCAUUACUGCCAAGUUCCUCCGAGGAUAAAAGCGCUAGUAGGAAGCAGCAAAUUUGCAACUUUGUCAAAGAGUGUAGAACGCAUAUAAACUAAGAACUGUAGAGCCAUGAUAGCUUCUAGGUAAUGCAUCCUACACGCACUCCACAUUUUGUGAACUGGGACAACCCAACCAUGGUGUAACUGAAAAGCUGUCAUUAGUUACACACAAGUAUAAUCAUAUGAGAGCAGCACCAUGAUAUAGCAUACCUGACUGAAUCCUGACUCAAAGGCCUCCAGCUGUCUUGUGAUUCCACUUUUAACUGUUGCCUCGACAACAAAAGAAACAUAUUCUUCCAAAUUCUCACCAGUUACCUGAAAAUAACUUAAGUAAUUUAGGGAAUACUUUAAUCUGCUGCGAACCCGGCAACGGAAAGUGGCACGGUCAUAUCACUUACAUUAUCUGAAGUACCCUCUGAAGAAAGCACAUAUUCUGGAUACCCUGGGACAGCAAAGUCAAUAACAAGAUCCUCAAUUUUACAACCUCGAUAAGACAAAUCAGAUGUGCUCUGGCAUUCCCUUGUCGAACAUGAUUCUAAAUAUUUCCUUUGACAAGUAAGCGCUUUAAACUCCAUAAGGGUCAUUGCCAGUUCAGGAUCAAAUGAAUUGAUAUCAUAUAUAUUAAGCUCCUAUCAUAGUAAAGACUAUUAGAUCGACAAACAGAAGAAAGCAUAAUAAACAUGAUAUAUUUCCGAGAAUAUAGGACCCAAAAUACCUGUCCUAGGAUAAGCUUGUAAAAUGCUUUGGAAAAUGGAAUGUCAAGAAUUCUGCCAUCCUUAAUUGCCUUUGCGAGAACCUGACCAAGGAGGUGAAACCUUUUAUUUACUUCCGAGAAGGAAGCACAGUCUACAGAAGCAGACCACGGUCGAGGAAACAGUCCAUUAGGCGCGACCACAGUCCGGGAACCAAUGUGAGCAUUGUUGGUGCCAGCUUCACAAGGAAGCUCACCCCUCCACAUGCCUAAACCAGACUUCUGAAACUCAUGACUUAUCAACGUAUAGAACUCCAUUGUAGGACCUAAACCUGUACCUACUUCUUCUUCAUAUUCUACUUCAAGCAGUGCACUACUCUUAGCAUAGGAAUGCAUCAUUUUCGCAGCUGAAGCCAGUAUAUCAUCACGAUCAACUUUGAACUUUUUCCGUGAAAUGGGUGAACCUCUUUCUGUUGAUAUAUUGCUACCACUUGUAUCUAUCAAAUGACCACGUUGCAUUGAUGAAGAACCAAAUGCUGUCAGUUGGAAAUACUUCCAUCUUGCCUCAAAGGAAAAUAAGAAAGGGCACGCAGACAUCAGUUCAGUGCACCAUAAAGGCAGACAGCGAGACCUUAAAACCAAGGGAUCAUGCAUCUGUUGCUCCAGUUUAUCUGUCAAUUUAGCACUAACAAACUCCUGCAGUGGAACUGAAGAAACAGAAGGCUUCAGAUCAUCAAGGUCAGUUAACUUCCCUUGAGCAAAAGCAUGGUUUCUCUCAUUAGACACGAGGUGAAACGAGUAUCGGUUUAAUCCUUCUAAAACUUUCAGCAUAAACAAUAUGUCAUACAAUGAAUUUGAUCUAUCAAGUUUGCAAGGGAUCUUCCCAAGCAACAAACUGCUGAAGAAAGGGAGUGCUUGCCACAUUAAACCAGUUUUACUGUCAUUUGUUGAUAUCGCUGCAUUAGAAAGGUUCUCAGGAGAAUCAUCUUUUUCUGGAUUUGCAGCUGUUCGAAAUGUUAUGUCAUGCACACUGCGCCAAAACUGGGUGUCCAAAAUUACAUCAGCUCCCGCAUUGAUCUGAUCUUGCAGGAUUGAUUGAUAUAGAGUAACAGAUCGGUCAAGCUCUUUUCCUUUCAGGCUAAAUACCAGUUUCGGCUGUACAGCACAAUCAGUCCCGGUCGACUUGUUUCGUUCUGGUUGACCUCCAGCUGCACAUCCAUUAUGGUAUUGAGGUUACCAGAACAAGAGACAGGUUGCAAAUUAGAGAAUAACAGCUAGUAAUUAAGUCAAAUCUAGACACACACUCACCGGAAGAUGGCGACCCUUUCUUCGAGCAUGGUUCUACAGAAGAAUCUUGAUUUUCUCUGAUGAUACCCUGAAAAGGAGCAAUUCUAGUCUUAAAACACGGAAACCUAGAAGUAUGAACAGCGAUAAACUGUGGAUUUAUUGGAUAAUUCUUUCCGGUAUCAACGGGUAUGUAUGAAGUAAUAGCCAAACCAUGCAUAACCUCUACGGCACUAAAAGAAAGUUAUAAAUAUAAGCAAGUUAGCACUCAGCCUAUUCAUAUUUCAAUAUAUCCCAACUGUUAAUGUUUCUUAAGAUUGCAAACAGAAUAAUACCUCUGAUGAAGGAGAAGAUUCUGGGCUGGAAUCUCUUUCCUGAGGGUCAUCUUCAGCACAUCUGCUCUCGAAAGCAACACUACUAGGUGGUGAUUCAGUAUUCUGAUCACUUGUGCAUGUACUGACUUUGGGCCACAGAAAUUGUUCAAUAGAAUGCAAGGAAGAAGAGAUUUCCAAAUUCACAGAAUUAUCAUAGCUUGAUAAGUUUGUUUCAUCUUCAUCCUUCUUGAAACGUACUCGGAUACAUGGACUAAUUGUUGAGUGGCGAAUAGGGAUAUCAGAAAUAUUGUUCCUUGGCUUGAAAUUGUGGCUCAUUAUCACUGGGAAGUUGUCAAGAGAAGUAAGAGCAUUCUGCAGUUUCCUUACAAGUAGUGUCAAGAGCAUAUCACCCCAACCUUGCUCCAUUCUUGAGAAACAAAUCCGGGCAAAUGACUGAAAUCUUUUCAGCACAGCACAAAAAUGUUCAGCAUUGUAAUCUUUAAGAUUGUCAUCCACCUGAAGGUAUUUGCCGUUAGACAGGUAAUUUAACAAAGAUUUGACCAGUCCACUCUCAAGGAAUUCAAACGUCGUCAUUGUUUCUCCUCCGUGAAGCUCCAUCAUCACCUCGCUCAAAAUGGUAGACAAGUGUUCUUCAUUUUGAAGACUGUCUUGGUUUAAUGACUUGUCAGCAGAGUCAUUUAGAACUGCACAGCAAGUUUUGAGCUUCUGCAAAAUCUCUGUUAACCCCAUCUCUGAAUUCACUGCUUCAGCUGUAAAGUAAGUUGUCUUCACAUGUCUUGCGAAAUUAAAAAGGUUCCCCUGCCCAAUCCUACAAGCCCUUGUUUCAGCAGAUUCAGAUUGGCGGGAAUCAAAUGCAUAGCAGAAACAUGUAGGUUUAUUUCUUAUAACAGGUUGAUUUUCUGACUGCUGAGUGUCAUCAGAGAGAGGGGGGCUGGACUUUGAGCAAUCCUCUUGCAUAAGAAGAGCCUCUACUGCAUUGACAACACCUUCUUUGAUAAAAGAUCCAAGGUAAGCAUCCGGAAGUUUUUGCAUGAGAAUCUCGAUAAUCUUCAGUGAUGAGAUUAGCACAUGAUGAUCCUUCCGGGACAAUAAACCAGCCAAGAAGCUGUCACAUAAUCACAGAAGUAAUAUAUUCAUUUAGACUCAGACAAUUAACGAGUUCAGUGAAAAUGUCUAUCAACUGUUAUGCAAGGAAUGCAGCCCUUCUUUUGCAGGUCGUGUUUACCUUGAUAUGUUUGUUUCCUUGAGCAACUCUUGAAGCAUUUCAGGUUUACUGAAGUAACAGAUGUUAUUUACAAUUGAAGAACAGCCAUAGCAAAUGUACGAAUUUGCACCAGAGUUGACUGCCUGCACAAAACAACAUACUCACUUCAUAUUUCAGAGCAAGAGCAUCCUUAAUGAGCUGUUAGUUCGUUAUUAUGAACAGACCUUGAUCAAGAUAGGAAGGAUAUCCGUAGAGAACUGACACAAGAACCCUGGUUCAUCGACAAUUAUUUUUUCUUUAGCAAGUACUAUAUAGGUGUCUUCAACAUCUCUUGCAGCAGAAGGAAUAAGCUGGAUUGCUAAUUUCAGAGCUUCAUUAACCUGGUAGGAUCAAGAAUUAAACUAUCAAAUCACUGGUUGGCAGCUAGUGUGAACUUCAGGGCUGCAUGUUGGUGUAAGAAGAGGGAUCAAGGGAUGUGAUCGGACAAGUUCUACUAUUAUAGUUACUUAUUUAUUGAUCAAUGAAAAUAAUGUUUCGCUUGUUCGGAAGUGGAAAGCAGUGCUUAUAAUACUCCCUCCGGUCCUUUUUAGUCUGCAUAUAAGUUGUGUCUGAAGUCAAAGUAUCUCUACUUUGACCAAACUUAUAGAAAAAAGUAUCAGCAUUCAUAAUGCCAAAUCAAUAUUGUAGAUUCAUUAUGAAACGUAGUUCCGUAGUAUAUAUAUUUGAUAUUAUAGAUAUUGAUAUUUUUUAAAUAAAUUCGGUCAAACUUUGCAAAGUUUGACUUGACACAAAUCUAAUACGCAGAGUAAAAGGACCGGAGGGAGUACAAGUUAAGUCACAAAGAAAUGGAUAGGACAAAUUCACAAUAAUGGUAGCAUAACUUAUAAGAUUACAGCCCAGUUCUUUUGGCUGCUUCUCCUAGAAUCUUGAAACCGUAUUUUUUUGACAAUCCUAGAGGUCCAAUUCUAAAGAUUCUGGGAGAAUCAGACAAAAGAACUGUGCCUACUAGUUCUUUUCUAGUAAAUAUACUGAUCAACUGAGCUUGGUGCAUGUAUUAGUAUUACUACUGGUAACGGCAGCCUCUGCUCAUGUAGGUUAUGGACCACCUGAUGUUGAAUUUACCAAGAAACAGAACUAUAGAAAUAUGGACUGGCAGUAAAGAAGCUAUUAAGCAACCAACCUGGUUAUUUUGGUUUUCCGAAGGCAGGUAUGGCAUCCCAUGGGAGAGAUCUGAACUGACCAAAAUCCCCCUUAUGGUGCUACCAACAUUCAACUCAAAGAGAGACUUCACUGCCACAAGUGAAGUACAGGCUAGCUUAGCAAGAAGCCCGAUCAAGUUCUGCAAUCACAACAAACUACAAUCAACUCCCUCAAAGACAUACUCAUGAUACGCAUAGAAGGUCAAGGGGAAGCAUACACUGCAAGUUGAUGGGUUAAGGGAAGUGAGCCCGCUGGCGUUGAUCAAAGGAAGGACCUUCUCUACCAGGCCCUGGUGGCAGAGCUGGUCAAGAAGCUCCACUGAACCACUAAAAGAGUCUACAAUGCUUAUCAAGCAAGUUGCAACCUUUUCAACAACCUGUGAUAUUAUAUCACCUGAAACAUUAGCAGAGCACUAUGUACAUGCCUAAUACAUGCAAACUCGGUUAAAUUAGUGGGCAACAAUACCAUCUUGUCCUCAGACUGCAGUAGAUUACACAGCAUUGGGAUCGAAUCCAUCACAAACUGGGAGCAAUCUGCUGGGACCUUCUUACAGGCAUUUGCAACAGCCGAGACAGCAACCCUCUGAACCAUCCAAGCAGGCAUCCAAUUAGCGAAUGCAGUAGAUUCUCGGCACCAAAAGAUCGAAUAUCUGCAAUUCUAACCUGAAUACUUGCAGAGAAGAAGUCAAUGUACGCCAGCACGGCAGUUAUCAUGCCUGCCUGCAAGCACUGCGCCGGCUGCCGCAGCGAUAUCUUCUCAAACGCCUGCAAGCACUGCUCAUACAAACAGAAGAAGCGUGAUUGAUCGCGUAAAGCGCUUGGUUCAGUUCAAUGUGAUGGUCUGGCCGGGUUUUCAGGGCUGCUCCGUUACCUGCUCGGCCACAUCAAGGUACUCGAUCGCGAGGAGGCGGGAGCAGAGCACGGGGAGCAGGCCGUGGCGGACGACGGCGUCGGCGGCGCGUGGCAUGGCGUCGCAGAGGUAGGUGAUGGCGCGCACGGCGAGCAGCAUCUCGUCGGGGCUGGCGACCUCAGCGCCGGCCAGGCGCACGAGCGCCCGCGCGGCGGACUCGACGGGGAAGUAGCCCCCAGCGUCCUCGGUGCAGAAGGAGAGCGCCUCGCAGAGCUCCGUGAGCGACGCGAGCAGCGCGCCUCCCCCGGCGCCCUCCGAGGCGACGGCCGCCACCAUCCGGCGGAACUUGCCGCUCCCGGGCCCCCCGUCCCCAUCGGACUCACACGACGACCCGCCAUCCCCGUCCCCGUCCCCAUCGUCUCCGUCCACAUCGGCAUCGGCAUCGGCGUCGGCCUCGGCGGCGUGGCCGGACGACGAGGUGUCCAUGUCGGAGGCGGCCUGCUCCGGCGGCGCUGGCACGGCCGCGGCCACAGCGGCGGCGGCGGAAGUCGAGGGCUCGGCGGUGCAGGGGCGCUUAUCGGCGGGGGGCUCGGCCUCGCCGGAGCCGCCGGGGUCGGAGUCGGGGCGCUUCCGGCAGCGAUCCAUCGGCGCGCGCGCUUACCUCAGGCCCCCGGGCGCGGACGUAAGCCAGCAGCACAGCGGCAGUCCUCGCUCCGUCCCAACAACGAACACGAUCGAUCGGAGAGGGGAAUCGGGGGGGAUAUGAGUUGAGAGACGUGCGGGGUGGGGAGGGGGGGCGGGUUUUAAGUCUGGUUUACCCCUCUCCCCCUCUAUCUCGAUCGAUCGGGUUUAAAAUCCGGGAGAUUUUUAACCGAUUUGGUGCGGUUUCUGGGGGAGAUUCCCCGUGUUUAUCUGGGAGUUCCGCACCGCCAUUGUGUGCGCGGAGGGAGGGCGGGUGGGUGGAGGGCAGUAAUGGAACUGCGCGCCGCGGCCUGGGCUGGGCUUGCGGUUUGGUUUGGUUUGGUUUGGUUUGGGGUUUGCUUUUGGACUUUUGGUGUAGCGUCGUCCAUUGGCGGGGCGAGGCUUACCUGGGAAGGCACUGCCCGUGCGUGCUUUGUUAAUUGCGGAUUACGUGGAGGCCGGAUGGAUAGAUAGGCUCCGGCUCCGAGCGAGGACGGGGUUUCUUCGGAUGCUUUAAUUAGGUCGCUUUAUAUCAUCCCUAGCAGAUCUAGUAAAAGGCUAAAAAAAAUUAAAUUGUUUGUAUUGCUUACCACGUAUGUCACGUGGUGGUAAAAGGCUAAACGGUAAAAGAAUCAUAUUUUACAGUUUUGGACGAAAACAAUUUCAUAUCCCGCAAAACGGCCGGUACUGGAAAAAAAAAAUCCAAGUCCCUAAAACAAACCGCGUGCCCGUGAUAUAUCUAUCUAGUCCCCUAGUUUACCUAGGGUUUUCCAGUCCUCUCGGCGGCCCGCCGCCCUGAGUUCCUCCUGUCAGUAAAGACAACCGAUCGCGCUCCCUUCAAUCCCCAUCGACCUCCUCGCAUCACUAGGACUGCCCCAAGUCCUUGUUUGUGUCUCUGGUUGCUGAGGCUGAAGGUUCCCCUUCAGGUGAUAGAUCAAGACUUUGUGUGAGAUGGCUUUUUCUGCGGAAGGAUCGAGAUCGAAGAGCCUGGUGGAUGAAGAUCCAAGCAAGCUCCUGGAACUGUGCAUUUGCAGGAUGACGAAAUUGACGAACUAAUCUGGGAAGAUGAAGUUGAUACGACCGAGGAGAAGCCGAAGUGGCUAGCCUUGGCGAAACUGCUGACGGAGAAAAGCUUCAGUCAGAGUGCGCUGAUAGGAGACAUGCGAGCGGCAUGGACCCUGCUCAGGAGGUAGUCUGGAGGAGGAUAAAUCCAAACCAGUUCUCAAUUCAGUUCAAUUGUUUGGCGGAUUGGAAUAAGAUGCAUCAAGGACCUUGGGAUCUCAAAGGUUGUGCCCUCUUGUUGAUUGAAUAUGAUGGCUUUACAAAACCUGAGAAAGUGAAGCUAGAUCGACUUGAGACGUGGUGUCAGAUCCGCAAACUCCCUGACGGGGUUCUGAAGAACAAACCUUUCCUUGAAAAUCUUGUGAAACGCAUAGGUGAAGUGCAGGAAGUUCAUAUUACACUUCCUAACGGAUUUGUGGCGAGUUCAUCCGUAUCAGAGUAAAGCUUGAUGUAAACAAGAAACUCACACGAUUUGUUGGAUUCACAGUAAAAGGUGAGAUGGAAUUCUAUCAAGUUCAGUUUGAAAAGCUUCCCGUUUUCUGCCACGCCUGCGGGAAGAUGGGACACUGGCAUGAGGAGUGUGGUACUGGGGAACACAACAAAUCAAAGUUUGAAUGGGGAUCUUUUAUCAUGGCUCCAAGAAGGGGGAGAGGUGGUGGUCGUGGUACUGGUGGUGGCCGUGCUUCCGGUACUAGACGUGGAUACAUGGGUGAAAGAGGAGGUGGACGGUCAGGCAGAGGCAUGGAGGGGAGGUUUGGUGACAGGGCUUGGCGCUGGAACUAUGACCCUGCCAUGAAUCAAUAUGGUCAUGAGGGUAUGGAUCUUGAUGAAACUGGUAAGGAAGGGAACAAGUCGGAUGACGGUAAAGCUAUUGUGGUGUGCAACACGGAAAAUCAAACCUUGCUAAGCAAACGGCAAGCUGAGGAUAGAACAGCAGUGCCCCCAAGUUCUGGAUUACCUAAUGGGGUGGGGUGGUUGCAAACACUGUAGUUCAAUUUGAACCAACACCUUUAGGGAUCUCAGUGUUCAGAAGCAUUCUCGAUAAUUGUAAUCUCUCUGGUGUUGGUUUUGUGGGAGAAAAAUUCACAUGGCAUGGGGGGAUACGUGAGCCGCUUGACCGGGCUCUCUCAAAUGAUCUAUGGAACGAGAAGUUUGGAUCUACGGUUCUACGUAAUCUUGAUUAUAGCAGGUCCGACCACCGUCUUAUACUCAUGAACCUUGAUGAGGGGCUGAUAUGGAUAAUCAUGGACCAUCAGUAUUGCGUUUUGAGGCCAAGUGGUUGAAAGAGGUUUAGUUUAGGCAUGUGGUGGAAGAGGCCUGGGAACAGGCGGGGGCCAGAUUUUCAAAUGCUAGUUUGGCGGGAAAACUUGCAUGGGUACAUGUUUACUUGCAUAAAUGGGAUCGUACAAUUUUGCAAAAAAGAAGAGGAUCAAGUCAGCACAGAAAGAACUAGAACAGGCUAUCAGUGGUACUUUAGAUGACCAAAGUGUCAAGAGGGAGAAGGAACUAGCUGCUGAAAUUGAAUGGUUACUUGAGCAAGAGGAGAUACAUUAUGCACAAAGUAGAGUGGAUUGGUUAAAGUUUGGAGAUAGAAACACUGUUUAUUUCAAGAAUUUUGCCUCUACUAGACGUAAAAGAAAUAUGAUCAAGAAACUGAGAGGGGAUAACGGGGUCAGGUUGGAAGGGAGCACGGCUCUAAACCCACAUAUAUCACAUUAUUUUGAGGGGCUUUUUGCCUCGGAUAUGAAUGGAACCGAUCCUGGCUUACUUAACAAGGUGACCCCGCAAGUGUCAGAUGCUAUGAAUCGCUCAUUAUUGCAGCCAUAUUCGGCUGAAGAGGUGAAAAAAAGCUCUAUUUUCCAUAGGAGACAUGAAAGCUCCGGGUACAGAUGGCUUGCAUGCGAUCUUUUUUUUAAGUGUUGGCAUCUGUUGGGCGACUCGAUGACAGGAGAAGUUUUGGAUGCUAUCAAUAACAAACAAAUCCCUGAAGGUUGGAAUGACAUUGUGAUAGUUCUCAUGCCGAAAGUGGAUGAUCCAGAAUUAAUUACGCAAUAUAGGCCCAUCAGCUUGUGUAACGUGUUGUAUAAGGUAAUAUCCAAAAUGAUCGCUCUACAUCUUAAACAGGUGUUGGAUGAUAUUAUUUCUCGAGUACAGAGUGCCUUUGUUCCUGGAAGACUGAUUACUGAUAACAUAUUGUUGGCCUAUGAAAGUAUCCAUGCUAUUAAAAAUAAGAAGGGGAAAUGGGGUUAUUGUGCGGUAAAGCUGGACAUGCAUAAAGCUUAUGACUGAGUAGAAUUGCAAUUCCUACAGGAUAUGAUGAUUCAAUUAGGUUUUCAUCAAGAGUUUGUGGAGCUUCUAAUGGCGUGUGUACAAUCUAUAAAAUAUAAGGUGAGGUUUAAUAAUCAAGAAACAAACUCUUUCACCCAGAGAGGGGGCUUUGCCAGGGAGAUUCUCUCUCCCCAUACCUGUUUCUGAUUUGUGCUGAGGGCUUAUCUAGUUUGUUGUCUCAUAAAGAGGAGGUUCGUGGCAUAGAAGGUUUCAGGGUUUGCAGAAAUGCACCAUCAGUUUCCCAUUUAUUAUUUGCUGAUGAUUCCCUUGUCCUUAUGAAAGCAGAUAUGAAUAAUGCAACCUCAUUGAGACAGGUACUGGAGCUGUAUUGUGCAAGUUCUGGACAGCUUGUGAGUGAAGCAAAAUGCAGCAUAUAGUUUAGUAAUGUAAGUGUUGAAACAAAGGCCAAUAUAUGUACUGAACUAAAUAUUAUGUCAGAAGCUCUUUCUGACAAGUAUUUAGGAUUACCUGCAAUGGUGGGAGUAGACUGAAGUGACAGUUUUGUUCAUUUACUCGAAAGGAUCAUUGCUAGGCUAAAAAGUUGGAACGAAAAGUUUUUAUCCAUGGGGGGGAGGAAAUUUUGCUAAAAGCAGUCAUGCAAUCUAUUCCUGUCUUCGCUGUGUCUAUUUUCAAUAUCCCCAAGAAAUCAUGUAAGGAGAUGAUUGAUGCAAUGUCUGAAUUUUGGUGGGGUGGCUCUGAGAACACAAAACAUAUGCAUUGGAUGGCUUGGUGGAGGAUGUGCAUUUCCAGGAGGGGUGGAGGUAUGGGGUUUCGUGAUCUACAUUCUUUUAAUCUAACAAUGCUAGCAAAACAGUCAUGGAGACUUAUUUCUACUCCUGAUUCAUUUGUGCACAAGUACUGAAAUCUAAACAUUUCCCAAAUUGUUUAUUACUCAAACUGGCCCAAAGAAGGGGUCCAACUUUACCUGGCAAAGCAUUGUGGCGGGUCCGAACACUUUCCGAAGAGCACAUGCAUGGCGUGUUGGUACGGGUGAGAUGAUUAAUAUUUGGGAGGAUCAUUGGGUGCCAGGUAGUCCUUCUCGUAUGAUACAGACGCCAAAGGGGAAUAUUAUGCUACAGUAUGUAAACGAGCUAAUCAGUCCGGUUAGUGGUCUCUGGGAUGAGGUGUUGUUGAGAGAUAUAUUCUCUCCCAUUGACGUUGACAGAAUUCUUAAGAUUACACUAAGUGAACACGUAGGAGAUGUUGGAAAUAUGCCCUGGAGGCAAUAAUAAAAUGGUUAUUAUUAUAUUUCCUUGUUCAUGAUAAUCGUCUAUUGUUCAUGUUAUAAUUGUGUUAUCCGGAAAUCGUAAUACAUGUGCGAACACAUAGACCAUAACAUGUCCCUAGUGAGCCUCUAGUUGACUAGCUCGUUGAUCAAUAGAUGGUUACGGUUUCCUGACCAUGGACAUUGGAUGUCAUUGAUAACGGGAUCACAUCAUUAGGAGAAUGAUGUGAUGGACAAGACCCAAUCCUAAGCAUAGCACUAGAUCGUGUAGUUCGUUUGCUAAAGCUUUUCUAAUGUCAAGUAUCAUUUCCUUAGACCAUGAGAUCGUGCAACUCCCGGAUACCGUGGGAAUGCUUUGGGUGUACCAAACGUCACAACGUAACUGGGUGGCUAUAAAGGUGCACUACAGGUAUCUCCGAAAUCGGAUCGAGACUGGGAUUUGUCACUCCGUAUGACGGAGAGGUAUCUCUGGGCCCACUCGGUAAUGCAUCAUCAUAAUGAGCUCAAUGUAACUAAGUACUUAGUCACGGAUCAUGCAUUACGGAAUGAGUAAAGUGACUUGCCGGUAACGAGAUUGAACGAGGUAUUGGGAUACCGACGAUCGAAUCUCGGGCAAGUAACGUACCGAUUGACAAAGGGAAUUGUAUACGGGAUUGCUUGAAUCCUCGACAUCGUGGUUCAUCCGAUGAGAUCAUCGUGGAACGUGUGGGAGCCAACAUGGGUAUCCAGAUCCCGCUAUUGGUUAUUGGCUAGAGAGGUGUCUCGGUCAUGUCUGCAUGAUUCCCGAACCCGUAGGGUCUACACACUUAAGGUUCGAUGACGCUAGGGUUAUAAGGAAGGUUUGUAUGUGAUUACCGAAUGUUGUUCGGAGUCCCAGAUGAGAUCCUGGACGUCACGAGGAGUUCCGUAUUGGUCCGGAGGUGAAGAUUUAUAUAUGGGAAGUCAUCAUACGGUCACCGGAAAUAUUCGGAGGUAUACCGGUAUUGUACCGGGACCACCGGAGGGGUUCCGGGAGUCCACCUGCCCCGGAGGGCCCUAUGGGCUAUAGGUGGAAGGGAACCAGCCCCUAAGUGGGCUGGGCGCCAUCCCCCUAGGGCCCAUGCGCCUAGGGUUGGGAGGAACCCUAAAAGGGGGCGCCCCCUUGCUUGGGGGGCAAGCCCCCUCCCCCUUGGCCGUCGCCCCCCCUCUAGAUCUCAUCUAGAGGGGCCGGCCCCCUUCCCCCUUUUCCCUAUAAAUAGAGGGGUGGAGGGAGGGCUGCAGCACCACAUCCAAGGCGCAGCCCCUCCCCUCCCCAACACCUCUCCUCCUCCGCGUGAGCUUGGCGAAGCCCUGCCGGAGAACUGCCACUCCACCACCACCACGCCGUCGUGCUGCUGUUGGAGCCUUCUUCCUCAACCUCUCCCUCCUCCUUGCUGGACCAAGGCGCGGGAGACGUCACCGGGCUGCACGUGUGUUGAACGAGGAGGCGCCGUUGUUCGGCGCUUGGAUCGGAAUCAACCGCGAUCUGAAUCGCUACGAGUACGACUCCCUCAUCUGCGUUCUUGUAACGCUUCCGUCUCGCGAUCUUCAACGGUAUGAAGAUGCACUUCCCUCUCUCUCGUUGCUAGUUACUCCAUAGAUUGAUCUUGGUGAUGCGUAGAAAUUUUUUAAUUUCUGCAACGAUCCCCAACAGGAGAGGAUUUCAUUGCCUGGCAUUAUACAAAAUCCUAUACUUUCUCCGUACGAUUUGCUUACUAUAUUGAAUGGGACCAUUCCCAUCGACAUAGACUAACUCUUGAAGAUGGCUAGAGUACAUCAAGGCGCAACCCUGUGUGGGACAUUUUAUGGAAAUUACAAGUGCCAAACAAAGUUAAAAUCUUUGGGUCGAAGGCUUUAGAUGGCAUGAUUCCAGGUUUUGCUAUUCUUGCUAAUAGGCAUAUUCCAAUUACUGCCCAGUGUCCUGUAUGUGAAAGUGGCCAUGAAGAUAUAAAACAUCUUAUGUUCACUUGUGUUCGUGAAAAAACAGUUUGGAAUUCUUUGGGGUUGCUGCAGUAUAUCAAUGAAGUUGUUCCAGUGGACCGAUCGGGUUCAGUCAUUUUGGAAGAAAUACUUUGACGGCCACAAAAUAAUUCUCUGGUGAUCAAGGGGGGUUUGAAGGAACUAAUCCUAGUGGGGGCAUGGUAUAUCUGGUGGCAAAGAAGGGAGUAUGUUAAGGGUCAACGUGUGGCAGAACCAGCUAGCUCAGCUUUCUCAAUUCAAGCCUUGACAUGUAAUUUUAUGGGAGCACAACUUAACUAUGAACCUCGUGAGAUCGCUUGGUCUAAGCCACCAGGUAAUACAUAUAAACUAAAUGUGGACGCUGCUUUCUCUGAAAAUGGAUAUGGAGGUGCGGGCGCUGUGGUACGCAACGACAGGGGAGAGGCGAACGCGGGUGCAUGAUGGCCGCUGCAGAAUCUUCUUGACGCGGCAAAUGCUGAAGAUACGACUCUCUUGAAAGGAUUAUGUUUAAUUGAGACUCUGGAUUGUGCUCCAGUUAUCAUAGAAUCUGACUCGUUGGAGCUUGUGGAAGCCUUCAAGGGAGUAAUUCAAGUCUGGUCCCCGUAUUUGGCGAUUCUUGCAGAUUGUUUCCAGGUUGCCUACAGGAUUGGCUCAAUUUCAAUUCAACACUGCUCCAGGGAGGCAAAUUUCGUGGCGCAUAAUUUAGCUAAACAUGCUUUUGUUUCUAAUUCUGCCGUUUUUGGGAUGAUGAUCCCCCUAGUUUCAUUAUCCCGGCCGUAAUGAAUGAUGUAUCUUUGUUUGAAUUGCAAUAAAACGCACCAUGAAGGCUUUCCCUGAAAAAACACGCGUCCCAUGAUAUCCAACUUUGGAGUCGAUUUUUAGGGUGAACUGAAAAACCAUGUGAUGGUUGGUGGGAGGGAAAUUUCUGUUGGAAAUAUGCCCUAGAGGCAAUAAUAAAUGGUUAUUAUUAUAUUUCUUUGUUCAUGAUAAUCGUCUAUUGUUCAUGCUAUAAUUGUAUUGUCCGGAAAUCGUAAUACAUGUGUGAAUGCAUAGACCACAACAUGUCCCUAGUAAGCCUCUAGUUGACUAGCUCGUUGAUCAACAGAUAGUCAUGGUUUCUGACUAUGGACAUUGGAUGUCAUUGAUAACGGGAUCACAUCAUUAGGAGAAUGAUGUGAUGGACAAGACCCAAUCCUAAGCAUAGCAUAAAAGAUCGUGUAGUUUCGUUUGCUAGAGCUUUUCCAAUGUCAAGUAUCUUUUCCUUAGACCAUGAGAUUGUGCAACUCCCGGAUACCGUAGGAGUGCUUUGGGUGUGCCAAACGUCACAACGUAACUGGGUGACUAUAAAGGUGCACUACGGGUAUCUCCGAAAGUGUCUGUUGGGUUGGCAUGGAUCGAGACUGGGAUUUGUCACUCCGUGUGACGGAGAGGUAUCUCUGGGCCCACUCGGUAAUGCAUCAUCAUAAUGAGCUCAAUGUGACUAAGGGUUAGUCACGGGAUCAUGCAUUGUGGUACGAGUAAAGAGACUUGCCGGUAACGAGAUUGAACAAGGUAUUGGGAUACCGACGAUCGAAUCUCGGGCAAGUAACAUACCGAUUAACAAAGGGAAUUGCAUACGGGGUUGAUUGAAUCCUCGACACCGUGGUUCAUCCGAUGAGAUCAUCGUGGAACAUGUGGGAGCCAACAUGGGUAUCCAGAUCCCGCUGUUGGUUAUUGACCGGAGAGGCGUCUCGGUCAUGUCUGCUUGUCUCCUGAACCCGUAGGGUCUACACACUUAAGGUUCGGUGACGCUAGGGUUAUAGAGAUAUGUGUAUGCGGAAACCCGAAAGUUGUUCGGAGUCCCGGAUGAGAUCCCAGACGUCACGAGAGGUUCCGGAAUGGUCCGGAGGUGAAGAAUUAUAUAUAGGAAGUCAAGUUUCGGCCAUCGGGAAAGUUUUGGGGGUUACCGGUAUUGUACCGGGACCACCGGAAGGGUCCCGGGGGUCCACCGGGUGGGGCCACCUAUCCCGGAGGGCCCCGUGGGCUGAAGUGGGAAGGGAACCAGCCCCUAGUGGGCUGGGCGCCCCCCCAUGGGCCUCCCCCCAUGCGCCUAGGGUUGGGAACCCUAGGGUGGGGAGGGCUUCCCACUUGCCUUGGGGGGCAAGGCACCCCCUUUCCCCCUUUGGCCGCCGCCCCCCCCCCCCUUGAGAUCCCAUCUCCAGGGCCGGCGCCCCCCCAGGGGGCCUAUAUAAAGGGGGGGAGGGCAGCAACAAGACAGCCUUGGGCGCCUCCCUCCUCCCCUGCUACACCUCUUCGUCUCGCAGAAGCUCGGCGAAGCCCUGCCGAGACCCGCUACAUCCACCACCACGCCGUCGUGCUGCUGGAUCUCCAUCAACCUCUCCUUCCCCCUUGCUGGAUCAAGAAGGAGGAGACGUCGCUGCACCGUACGUGUGUUGAACGCGGAGGUGCCGUCCGUUCGGCACUCGGUCAUCGGUGAUUUGGAUCACGGCGAGUACGACUCCGUCAUCCACGUUCAUUGGAACGCUUCCGCUCGCGAUCUACAAGGGUAUGUAGAUGCACUCCUUUCCCCUCGUUGCUAGUAUACUCCAUAGAUGCAUCUUGGUGAGCGUAGGAAAAUUUUAAAUUAUGCUACGAUUCCCAACAGUGGCAUCAUGAGCCAGGCCUAUGCGUAGUUACUAUGCACGAGUAGAACACAAAGCAGUUGUGGGUGUUGAGUUUGCCAAUUCUUCUUGCCGCUACUAGUCUUUUCUUGUUUCGGCGGUAUUGUAGGAUGAAGCGGCCCGGUCCGACCUUACACGUACGCUUACGUGAGACAGGUUCCACCGAUUGACAUGCACUAGUUGCAUAAGGUGGCUAGCGGGUGUCUGUCUCUCCUACUUUAGUCGGAACGGAUUCGAUGAAAAGGGUCCUUAUGAAGGGUAAAUAGAAAUUGGCAAAUCACAUUGUGGUCAUACGUAGGUAAGAAACGUUCUUGCUAGAAACCUAUAAACCACGUAAAAACUUGCAACAACAAUUAGAGGACGUCUAACUUGUUUUUGCAGCAAGUGCUAUGUGAUGUGAUAUGGCCAGAAGAUGUGAUGAAUGAUAUAUGUGAUGUAUGAGAUUGAUCAUAUUCUUGUAAUAGGAAUCACGACUUGCAUGUCGAUGAGUAUGACAACCGGCAGGAGCCAUAGGAGUUGUCUUUAUUAUUUUACAUGACCUGCGUGUCAUUGAAUAACGCCAUGUAAAUUACUUUACUUUGUUGCUAAACGCGUUAGCCGUAGAAGUAGAAGUAAUCGUUGGCGUGACGACUUCAUGAAGACACAAUGAUGGAGAUCAGGAUGAUGGAGAUCAUGGUGUCAUGCCGGUGACGAAGAUGAUCAUGGUGCCCCGAAGAUGGAGAUCAAAGGAGCAUAAUGAUAUUGGCCAUAUCAUGUCACUAUUUGAUUGCAUGUGAUGUUUAUCAUGUUUUUGCAUCUUAUUUUCUUAGAACGACGGUAGUAAGUAAGAUGAUCCCUUAUAAUAAUUUCAAGAAAGUGUUCACCCUAACUGUGCACCGUUGCGAAGGUUCGUUGUUUCGAAGCACCACGUGAUGAUCGGGUGUGAUAGAUUCUAACGUUCGAAUACAACGGGUGUUGACGAGCCUAGCAUGUACAGACAUGGCCUCGGAACACACGCAAUACACUUAGGUUGACUUGACGAGCCUAGCAUGUACAGACAUGGCCUCGGAACACGGAGGACCGAAAGGUUGAGCAUGAGUCGUAUAGAAGAUACGAUCAACAUGGAGAUGUUCACCGAUCUUGACUAGUCCGUCUCACGUGAUGAUCGGACACGGCCUAGUUAAACUCGGAUCAUGUUUCACUUAGAUGACUAGAGGGAUGUCUAUCUGAGUGGGAGUUCAUUAAAUAAUUUGAUUAGAUGAACUUAAUUAUCAUGAACUUAGUCUAAAAUCUUUACACUAUGUCUUGUAGAUCAAAUGGCCAACGUUGUCCUCAAUUUCAACGCGUUCCUAGAGAAAACCAAGCUAAAAGAUGAUGGCAGCAACUAUACGGACUGGGUCCGGAACCUGAGGAUCAUCCUCAUAGUAGCCAAGAAAGAUUAUGUCCUAGAAGCACCGCUAGGUGAUGCACCAAUCCCACAGAACCAAGACGUUAUGAACGCUUGGCAGCAGCGUGCUGAUGAUUACUCCCUCGUUCAGUGCGGCAUGCUUUACAGCCUAGAACCGGGUCUCCAAAAGCGUUUUGAGAAACAUGGAGCAUAUGAGAUGUUCGAGGAGCUGAAAUUGGUUUUCCAAGCUCAUGCUCGGGUCGAGAGAUAUGAAGUCUCCGACAAGUUCUUCAGCUGUAAAAUGGAGGAGAACAGUUCUGUUAGUGAGCACAUACUCAGAAUGUCUGGGUUGCAUAACUGCUUGUCUCAGCUGGGAGUCAAUCUCCCGGAUGACGCGGUCAUUGACAGAAUCCUCCAGUCGCUUCCACCAAGCUACAAGAGCUUUGUGAUGAACUUCAAUAUGCAGGGGAUGGAAAAAACCAUUCCCGAGGUAUAUUUAAUGCUGAAAUCAGCAGAGGUGGAGAUCAGAAAAGAACAUCAAGUGUUGAUGGUGAAUAAAACCACUAAGUUCAAGAAGGGCAAGGGUAAGAAGAACUUCAAGAAGGACGGCAAGGGAGUUGCCGCGCCCGGUAAGCCAGUUGCCGGGAAGAAGUCAAGGAAUGGACCCAAGCCCGAGACUGAGUGCUUUUAUUGCAAGGGAAGUGGUCACUGGAAGCGGAACUGCCCCAAAUACUUAGCGGACAAGAAGAAGGCCGGCAACACCAAAGGUAUAUGUGAUAUACAUGUAAUUGAUGUGUACCUUACCAGUACUCGUAGUAGCUCCUGGGUAUUUGAUACCGGUGUGGUUGCUCAUAUUUGUAACUCAAAACAGGAACUACGGAAUAGACGGAGACUGGCAAAGGACGAGGUGACGAUGCGCGUCGGGAAUGGUUCCAAGGUCGAUGUGAUCGCCGUCGGCACGCUACCUCUGCAUCUACCCACGGGAUUAGUUUUAAACCUCAAUAAUUGUUAUUUAGUACCAGCUUUGAGCAUGAACAUUGUAUCUGGAUCUCGUUUAAUUCGAGAUGGCUACUCAUUUAAAUCCGAGAAUAAUGGUUGUUCUAUUUAUUUGAGAGAUAUGUUUUAUGGUCAUGCCCCGCUGGUCAAUGGUUUAUUUUUGAUGAAUCUCGAACGUGAUGUUACACAUGUUCAUAGUGUGAAUACCAAAAGAUGUAAAGUUGAUAACGAUAGUCCCACAUACUUGUGGCACUGCCGCCUUGGUCACAUUGGUGUCAAGCGCAUGAAGAAGCUCCAUGCAGAUGGACUUUUGGAGUCUCUUGAUUACGAAUCAUUUGACACGUGCGAACCAUGCCUCAUGGGUAAGAUGACCAAGACUCCGUUCUCCGGAACAAUGGAGCGAGCAACCAACUUAUUGGAAAUCAUACAUACCGAUGUGUGCGGUCCAAUGAGUGUUGAGGCUCGCGGAGGAUAUCGUUAUGUUCUCACUAUCACUGAUGAUUUAAGUAGAUAUGGGUAUGUAUACCUAAUGAAACACAAGUCUGAAACCUUUGAAAAGUUCAAGGAAUUUCAGAGUGAAGUCGAGAAUCAACGUGACAGGAAAAUAAAAUUCUUACGAUCAGAUCGUGGUGGAGAAUAUUUAAGUCACGAAUUUGGUACACACUUAAGGAAAUGUGGAAUAGUUUCACAACUCACGCCGCCUGGAACACCUCAGAGAAAUGGUGUGUCCGAACGUCGUAAUCGCACUCUAUUGGAUAUGGUGCGAUCUAUGAUGUCUCUUACCGAUUUACCGCUCUCAUUUUGGGGUUAUGCUUUAGAGACUGCCGCAUUCACUUUAAAUAGGGCUCCGUCGAAAUCCGUUGAGACGACACCGUAUGAAUUAUGGUUUGGGAAGAAACCUAAGCUGUCGUUUCUAAAAGUUUGGGGAUGCGAUGCUUAUGUCAAGAAACUUCAACCUGAAAAGCUCGAACCCAAAUCGGAAAAAUGCGUCUUCAUAGGAUACCCUAAGGAAACUAUUGGGUACACCUUCUACCUCAGAUCCGAAGGCAAGAUCUUCGUUGCCAAGAAUGGGUCCUUUCUAGAGAAGGAGUUUCUCUCGAAAGAAUUGAGUGGGAGGAAAGUGGAACUUGAUGAGGUGAUAGUCACCCCUUCCGAACCGGAAAGUAGCGCAGCGCGGGAAAAUGUUCCUGUGGUGCCUACACCGACUGGGGAGGAAGUUAAUGAUGAUGAUCAUGAAGCUUCGGAUCAAGUUACUGAACUUCGUAGGUCCACAAGGACACGUUCCGCACCAGAGUGGUACGGCAACCCUGUCCUGGAAAUCAUGUUGUUAGACAACGGUGAACCUUCAAACUAUGAAGAAGCGAUGGCGGGCCCGGAUUCCGACAAAUGGCUAGAAGCCAUGAAAUCCGAGAUAGAAUCCAUGUAUGAAAACAAAGUAUGGACUUUGACUGACUUGCCCGAUGAGCGGCGAGCCAUAGAAAACAAAUGGAUCUUUAAGAAGAAGACGGACGCGGAUGGUAAUGUGAGCAUCUACAAAGCUCGACUUGUCGCUAAGGGUUAUCGACAAGUUCAAGGGGUUGACUACGAUGAGACUUUCUCACCCGUAGCGAAGCUGAAGUCCGUCUGAAUCAUGUUAGCAAUUGCUGCAUACUAUGAUUAUGAGAUAUGGAAGAUGGACGUCAAAACGGCAUUCCUUAACGGCUUCCUUAAGGAAGAGUUGUAUAUGAUGCAGCCGGAAGGUUUUGUCGAUCCUAAGAAUGCUAACAAAGUAUGCAAGCUCCAACGCUCAAUCUAUGGGCUGGUGCAAGCAUCUCGGAGUUGGAACAUUCGCUUUGAUGAGAUGAUCAAAGCGUUUGGGUUUACACAGACUUAUGGAGAAGCCUGUGUUUACAAGAAAGUGAGUGGGAGCUCUGUAGCAUUUCUCAUAUUAUAUGUGGAUGAAAUACUAUGAUGGGAAAUGAUAUAGAAUUCUUGGAAAGUAUAAAGGCCUAUUUGAAUAAGUGUUUUUCAAUGAAGGACCUUGGAGAAGCUGCUUAUAUAUUAGGCAUCAAGAUCUAUAGGGAUAGAUCAAGACGCCUCAUUGGUCUUUCACAGAGUACAUACCUUGACAAGAUAUUGAAGAAGUUCAAUAUGGAUCAGUCCAAGAAGGGGUUCUUGCCUGUAUUGCAAGGUGUGCAGUUGAGCACGGCUCAAUGCCCGACCACGGCAGAAGAUAGAGAAAAGAUGAGUGUGAUCCCCUAUGCCUCGGCCAUAGGGUCUAUUAUGUAUGCCAUGCUGUGUACCAGACCUGAUGUAAACCUUGCCGUAAGUUUGGUAGGAAGGUACCAAAGUAAUCCCGGCAUGGAACACUAGACAGCGGUCAAGAAUAUCCUGAAGUACCUGAAGAGGACUAAGGAUAUGUUUCUCGUUUAUGGAGGUGACGAAGAUCUUGACUAGUCCGUCUCACGUGAUGAUCGGACACGGCCUAGUUAACUCGGAUCAUGUUUCACUUAGAUGACUAGAGGGAUGUCUAUCUGAGUGGGAGUUCAUUGAAUAAUUUGAUUAUAUGAACUUAAUUAUCAUGAACUUAGUCUAAAAUCUUUACAAUAUGUCUUGUAGAUCAAAUGGCCCACGUUGUCCUCAACUUCAACGCGUUCCUAGAGAAAACCAAGCUGAAAGAUGAUGGCAGCAACUAUACGGACUGGGUCCGGAACCUGAGGAUCAUCCUCAUAGCAGCCAAGAAAGAUUAUGUCCUAGAAGCACCGCUAGGUGAAGCACCAAUCCUAGAGAACCAAGACGUUAUGAACGCUUGGCAAUCACGUGCUGAUGAUUACUCCCUCGUUCAGUGCGGCAUGCUUUACAGCUUAGAACCGGGGCUCCAAAAGCGUUUUGAGAAGCAUGGAGCAUAUGAGAUGUUCGAAGAGCUGAAAAUGGUUUUCCAAGCUCAUGCCCGGGUCGAGAGAUAUGAAGUCUCUGACAAGUUCUUCAGCUGUAAAAUGGAGGAGAAUAGUUCUGUUAGUGAGCACAUACUCAGAAUGUCUGGGUUACACAACCGCUUGUCUCAGCUGGGAGUUAAUCUCCCGGAUGACGCGGUCAUUGACAGAAUCCUUCAGUCGCUUCCACCAAGCUACAAGAGCUUUGUGAUGAACUUCAAUAUGCAGGGGAUGGAAAAGACCAUUCCUGAGGUAUAUUCGAUGCUGAAAUCAGCGGAGGUGGAGAUCAGAAAAGAACAUCAAGUGUUGAUGGUGAAUAAAACCACUAAGUUCAAGAAGGGCAAGGGUAAGAAGAACUUCAAGAAGGACGGCAAGGGAGUUGCCGCGCCCGGUAAGCCAGUUACCGGGAAGAAGUCAAAGAAUGGACCCAAGCCUGAGACUGAGUGCUUUUAUUGCAAGGGAAGUGGUCACUGGAAGCGGAACUGCCCCAAAUACUUAGCGGACAAGAAGGCCGGCAACACCAAAGGUAUAUGUGAUAUACAUGUAAUUGAUGUGUACCUUACCAGUACUCGUAGUAGCUCCUGGGUAUUUGAUACCGGUGCGGUUGCUCAUAUUUGUAACUCAAAACAGGAACUGCGGAAUAAGCGGAGACUGGCGAAGGACGAGGUGACGAUGCGCGUCGGGAAUGGUUCCAAGGUCGAUGUGAUCGCCGUCGGCACGCUACCUCUGCAUUUACCUACGGGAUUAGUUUUAAACCUCAAUAAUUGUUAUUUAGUGCCAGCUUUGAGCAUGAACAUUGUAUCUGGAUCUCGUUUAAUUCGAGAUGGCUACUCAUUUAAAUCCGAGAAUAAUGGUUGUUCUAUUUAUAUGAGAGAUAUGUUUUAUGGUCAUGCCCCGCUGGUCAAUGGUUUAUUCUUGAUGAAUCUCGAACGUGAUGUUACACAUAUUCAUAGCGUGAAUACCAAAAGAUGUAAAGUUGAUAACGAUAGUCCCACAUACUUGUGGCACUGCCGCCUUGGUCACAUUGGUGUCAAGCGCAUGAAGAAGCUCCAUGCAGAUGGACUUUUGGAGUCUCUUGAUUACGAAUCAUUUGACACGUGCGAACCAUGCCUCAUGGGUAAGAUGACCAAGACUCCGUUCUCCGGAACAAUGGAGCGAGCAACCAACUUAUUGGAAAUCAUACAUACCGAUGUGUGUGGUCCAAUGAGUGUUGAGGCUCGCGGAGGAUAUCGUUAUGUUCUCACUCUCACUAAUGAUUUAAGUAGAUAUGGGUAUGUCUACCUAAUGAAACACAAGUCUGAAACCUUUGAAAAGUUCAAGGAAUUUCAGAGUGAAGUUGAGAAUCAACGUGACAGGAAAAUAAAAUUCUUACGAUCAGAUCGUGGUGGAGAAUAUUUAAGUCACGAAUUGUAACAUCCCAAAUUUUCAAUUUGGUAUGUUAUACAUAGAUCAUCAUUGCAUAUCAUGUUUUAUUGCAUUUUGACAAAUCCUCGAUAAAUCCUAAGCAACUCAAGGACCCUCGGAGAGAGUUGGGGAUUUUCUCGAAUUUUUAAAUUUGAUUUUCAUCAAAUAUUAAGACGAGGAUUUUGGUUUUAAUUAUUUUCUCUCCGGAAAAAUAUUUCAUCUUAUACAUAAACGAGAGGAGAAAAUAUGACUUCUCCAAAACAAUUGAAAUACUGGAGGAAAAAUGUUAAAAUCAUUUAUUGGAAUUUAUUUGGAUUUUAUUUGCAAUUUUUAUUGCAUUAAAAAUAUUGCAUGUUUUUAAAAUAUUUAUUUUGUGUUAAAAAACUGUUCACCCUAUUCUAGAUUUUCUAACUAGACGGGGAAAAUUUAUUUUAUAUUUUUCUGACUUUUAUUUAUUUUUCUAUGAAUUAUUUUCCGCGGAACGUUUUAAAAAAAACACGCGCGUGCCCGCCGGGCCAAGCCCAGCCGCCAGGCCGCCGGCCCACCCCGCGCCCCUCUCCUCUCCCCGCACGGCCGCCGCCGCCGCCGUGNNNNNNNNNNNNNNNNNNNNNNNNNNNNNNNNNNNNNNNNNNNNNNNNNNNNNNNNNNNNNNNNNNNNNNNNNNNNNNNNNNNNNNNNNNNNNNNNNNNNNNNNNNNNNNNNNNNNNNNNNNNNNNNNNNNNNNNNNNNNNNNNNNNNNNNNNNNNNNNNNNNNNNNNNNNNNNNNNNNNNNNNNNNNNNNNNNNNNNNNNNNNNNNNNNNNNNNNNNNNNNNNNNNNNNNNNNNNNNNNNNNNNNNNNNNNNNNNNNNNNNNNNNNNNNNNNNNNNNNNNNNNNNNNNNNNNNNNNNNNNNNNNNNNNNNNNNNNNNNNNNNNNNNNNNNNNNNNNNNNNNNNNNNNNNNNNNNNNNNNNNNNNNNNNNNNNNNNNNNNNNNNNNNNNNNNNNNNNNNNNNNNNNNNNNNNNNNNNNNNNNNNNNNNNNNNNNNNNNNNNNNNNNNNNNNNNNNNNNNNNNNNNGGAGCCCCGCCGGAGCACUACCCCGACGAGGUACUGCCUCACUGCCCCGUUCGUCGUUGCCGGUUUUUGUUAAAAAAAACCCUUAGUUUUUUAAAAAGAAAAAAAACCUAGAUCGGUUUUUUUUCGGUUUUAUUAUUUUGCGAGCGUUCACCGAACCGUUCGUUUUAACGAACGCGUUCGUCGGUUUUUCUCUGUUAACGAACGUCCGUUCUUUAACCGUUCGUCCGUUUUUCUUUUUCGUCGGAUUUUUCUGCGAUUAUCUCAGAUUCGAUUCCUGAUCGAAUCUUCGUUUCUGUUUAACUUUUCGCUCGUUUAUCGGAAUCAGGCGAUUCAAGCGCCUAGAGUUUCGUCUCGAAAUUCUCUUUCCGUUUAACCUACUCAAACAAGUUUUUGCUACAGUAAAAUUUGACCUAGAUCCAGAUUAGUAAACAAAGUUUCUUUCUUUCGCAGUUUGACUUUCGUUAUUUCUUUCGAGUUGAUUCUUUUUGCAAACCGGAGUUCUUAAGUUGAACUUUCUGGUUGGAUCUUUCAUUCGAGUUUUACCUGUGCAUUAGAUGAGUACUGAUUGUAUGCUUGUUUGUUUGCGAUAGAGUACCCGGAGUGUGCCGCUUGUUACUUCGAAUCGCUAGGUUUUGCGGAUCAUCGGCAAGGCAAGUAACACUUUGAUCAUACCUUUCCAUACCCAGUUUUAUUGCAUUAGAUCUAUUCCUCAAACAUUGCAUGACUAGGAUCUAAUUAAAUUGUGGGUAUUGGGAAGUAGUUGAGGUAGCACCUAUUACCUGUAUUCUUAUCAAACCCUUGGGAGUUACUUCUACGUUGCUUUUAUUAUUGCCAUGCUAUGCUCGUAGACGUGGAUUGGGUUUGAGUGAAAUUCAUGACAGAUGUGAGAUUGUUAACAAUGGUUUACCUAAGGUGGCAACUAAAACUCACAUCUGGGUGGAUUGAGGUACCUGGGUAUUCCAGGAUUGCCUGUUUUUCUUUUGGACCGCCACCCAGGUUCCAAGGGAUCAUAAGAUUAUUCAUGCUAGAAACUUCCGUGUGCAGCCGCAAGCUAUUAUGGGCUCUAGCAUAGUUGAUUAAGUUGUGUGAACUCUUACAGUGGUAGACUAGCAGAUGUAGGGGAAAGUAGGUGUAACUGUCUACCCAUACGUAAAGUGCAAACACUUCUGAAAGACUGUGUCUUGGUCAUCCGUUACUCAAACACCAUGUAGUGCGAGUAAUCCAACGGAGGAGAUCAAGUCUUGUGGGGAAAAGUGCACAAACCUCUGCAGAGUGUACAAACUAAUCAUGGUUAGCCAUGUCCCCGGUUAUGGACAACUUGAGUAUCUAGUACUUGGAUUAUCAUGUGAAUCUCAUCACUAUGUUACUUCUAAUUAAUUUUGUUGGGUUAUUGAUGACAUUUAAUUGGGAUUGAGAUGCUGUCAACCAUCUCAAUGUUUCACAACCACCAUGAUAGUUAAAUAAAAUUUAUUCCUUUGAAGUAGGAUAAAAUUGGCUUUUCGCAAAAAUUGAAACCAUAGAGCUUUCCACCAGCCAUAUAUGCAUGUAGUAUAGCCUUAUUAUUGUUCAUUAUUCUCUAUGUGUUACAUUGCCAGCAUAUUCUAUGUGCUGACCCGUUUACGGGCUGCAACGUUUCAUGUUGCAGACUCUUCAGACGACGAGUAAGGUGCCUUAGGUCGUGGUCUUAUACUCAGUGAUGCCGCUGGAGUUGAUGGACUCACUUAUCUUCCAAGUCUUCCGCUGUUAUCGUUAUUAGAUGGCCUUAAGCCAUGUUUAUCAUACUUAAUAUCUUUGGAGAUAUUCGAUGUAAUAAGUGUGUGAUUGCUACUCUGUUAUAAAUCCUCCAUUUGUACUGUGCGUGUCAGCAUUACUGAUCCAGGGAUGACACUGGUGCACAGCAGCACAGACCAUUUGAGGUCUGGUCGCUACAAAGUUGGUAUCAGAGCACACGCUGACUGUAGGACACGACCACUAAGCUUAAGCCCUAGAAAGCUUCUCUCUUCUCAUUUCUGACCCCUAUCCACUUUCUACUCUUUUAGGAAUGGCGAAUGCAAGGAGCAAGUUCAUGCAACCAGAUGAAGACACGCCGUUUGGUCGACACUUGAAGGAAGUCACCAAGUACUUGAACAUAGGAAUACCAAGCAUCACCGGAACCUACAACGCCACAUUACCUGAAGAGGAGAGCUGGAAGAUUCAAGUUCACAUUCCAGGAAGGACGUUUGUGCCAGUUACUGAACCCAUAAGAUUGGUUUUCGAAGCACCAACCUGGAGUUUAGGGAAGAGCAUGGCCGCACACGUCGCCAUGAGACGCAUUGGAGAAGUCUACCACCAGGAGCUUAAGGAUACAAUUUACCAAAUUUGUGGACGCCGAGACGCGCAAUGGGAGAUGAUCAGAACCAAGAAGGAUGGAUCAAUUGCAGCUUUCAUCCAGGAGGAGAACCAACACAUUCGUCGCCAGGAGAACCAGAUGUGCACGGACAAGGAAGAACUGAAGAAGGCAUUGACGAAGAUCAAGGAGCUGGAGGAAGAACUCAAGGCUACACGCGAGGAUUAUUUGGAAGAAAUCAACGCACUAGUAGGGAAGAAUGACGACCUAGAGAAGAAGAUUGGAAUAUUCAUGGGAAAUCCAGUGCCAAAGGCAGAAGUCGACGAAUGCACUUGUCCGGAUAACUACAUCAUCAUCGACGACACUGACUCGGAACCAAGUGAAUAUGACUGGGUUGACGAAGCUGGAGCAGACAUCAUGGAGUCUUCAACGGAUCAGAAUUUCUAGUAGACCACCAUAUCAGUAGUAGUUUUCCCCCAUUUAAUAGUAUAGUUCAAGCACUUUGUAACGCUAGCUAGAUCGAUUGUUUUGCCUUGUUUGAAUUGAUUGAGUGAUAUUGAUUGAAUUUGUCUCAUGAGCAUAUGGGUAGUGUUUUCUCUCUAGACCUCAUUCUAUUCUUAACUCUCAUCUUUUCUAAACCUAUCAGAUGCCUCCGAGACGCGACACCGGAUUUGUUUUCCCGCCAGAGAUCACCCAGUUGAUUCAGCAACAGAAUGCCCUGAUGCAAGUGUUAGUGCAGAACCAAGGCAACAACAACAACAACAACCCACCGCCACCACCACCUGUUGAUCACUUAGCCCGUUUCUUAAGGCUAAACCCGUCGGUGUUUUCCAGUAGCACCGAGCCGAUUGUAGCAGAUGAUUGGCUCCGCAAAGUUGGAAGGGAGUUGACCACUGCAAGAUGCACAGAUGCGGAAAGAGUGCGUUUUGCCGCACAUCAGCUUGAUGGACCCGCAGCAUCAUGGUGGGAGAAUUAUACAGCCACGCACCCUAUUGACACUGUCACAUGGGACCAGUUUCAGCAAGCUUUCCGUACAGCACAUCUUUCAGCAGGAGCUAUGGCUAUGAAGAAGCGUGAGUUUCGCAGCCUACACCAAGGAGGACGCACCGUAGGCCAGUAUGUGGAGGAUUUCAGUAAGCUAGCACGUUAUGCACCAGAUGACGUUGCUACAGAUGCAGCCAAGCAGGAGAAAUUUUUGGAAGGGCUGAAUGAUGAACUGAGUAUGCAGUUGAUGGUAGCAACCUUCAACAACUACCAGGAGCUGGUAGAUAGAGCUCUCAUGAUUGAAGGGAAGCAACAGCAGAUUGAAAACCGUAAGAGGAAGUAUGGACAAGGGAAGUAUAACUCAGGAGCUCAGCAGAAGCCUCGAUUUACCCCGAAGCCGGGAGGACAGUUUCAGCAUACCCAUGGAGGAGGUAGUUCGCACAACCAUAAUGGCUCUAAAAAUGGUAAUGGGAAUGGAGGAAGCAACGGACAGAACCGCACCAACCCAUCUACCCCAGCCAAGAGGGACCUGAGCCAAGUCACUUGUUUCAAGUGCCAGAAGAAUGGACAUUAUGCCAAUGAAUGUCCUGAAGCCCAAAAUGGAAAUGGCAAUGGAAGCUCUGGGAAGAAGCCGAACCCGUUCAACAAAGGACACGUGAACCACGUGAGCGUGGAGGAGGUUGAAGCUCAGCCUGAUGCAGUAAUAGGUAAGUUCUUGGUUAAGUCAUUUACUGCAACCGUUCUUUUCGAUACUGGUGCAUCGCAUUCAUACAUAUCAAGGGGAUUUGUGAAUAAGUUUAAGAUGUCCACCAAAGUUCUCAGAAACCCUAUGUUAGUAACCUCGCCAGGAGCAGAGUAUAUGGCCACCCAAGGAUGUUUUCAGAUACCAUUGGCCAUUGGUAGGCAUGUUUUCCCCUCAGACCUCAUAGUUUUGGAGUCGCAAGGUUUGGAUGUGAUUUUGGGGAUGGAUUGGCUAUCGUUGUAUGGAGGAAACAUCGAUUGUGCCAGCAAGACGAUUUUGCUUACCACCCCGGAAGGGAAAAGGAUCAAGUAUGUAUCCCGACAUAUGCCGAAGAGGACUCAAGUAAAUUCCUUAUCAGGAGUUGUACAGGAGGAAGUACCAGUGGUGAAGGAUUAUCCGGAUGUAUUUCCAGAAGAGUUGCCAGGCAUGCCACCAGAUAGGGACAUUGAGUUUUUGAUUGAACUUUUGCCAGGCACAGGGCCAAUAUCUAAGAGACCGUACAGGAUGCCCGCAAAAGAUUUGGAGGAAAUUAAGAAGCAGAUCAAGGAGUUACUGGAUAAAGGCUAUAUUCGCCCAAGUUCGUCACCUUGGGGAUCACCAGUACUUCUAGUGGAGAAGAAAGAUGGAUCGCUGAGGAUGGUUGUUGAUUACCGUGGAUUGAAUGAAGUAACCAUCAAAAACAAGUACCCACUGCCGAUGAUCAAUGAUUUGUUUGACCGCCUACAAGGAGCUAAAGUAUUUUCCAAGAUCGAUCUACGAUCAGGAUAUCAUCAGUUAAAGAUUCGAGAGCAGGAUAUACCAAAGACGGCUUUUACCACCAGAUAUGGAUUGUAUGAGUAUACCGUUAUGUCAUUUGGUCUGACUAACGCACCUGCCUAUUUCGAGAGCCGGAAGGUUUUGUCGAUCCUAAGAAUGCUAACAAAGUAUGCAAGCUCCAGCGCUCAAUCUAUGGGCUGGUGCAAGCAUCUCGGAGUUGGAACAUUCGCUUUGAUGAGAUGAUCAAAGCGUUUGGGUUUACACAGACUUAUGGAGAAGCCUGUGUUUACAAGAAAGUGAGUGGGAGCUCUGUAGCAUUUCUCAUAUUAUAUGUGGAUGACAUAUUAUUGAUGGGAAAUGAUAUAGAAUUCUUGGAAAGAGUAAAGGCCUAAUUGAAUAAGUGUUUUUCAAUGAAGGACCUUGGAGAAGCUGCUUAUAUAUUAGGCAUCAAGAUCUAUAGAGUUAGAUCAAGACGCCUCAUUGGUCUUUCACAGAGUACAUACCUUGACAAAAUAUUGAAGAAGUUCAAUAUGGAUCAGUCCAAGAAGGGGUUCUUGCCUGUAUUGCAAGGUGUGCAGUUGAGCAUGGCUCAAUGUCCGACCACGGCAGAAGAUAGAGAAAAGAUGAGUGUCAUCCCCUAUGCCUCGGCCAUAGGGUCUAUUAUGUAUGCCAUGCUGUGUACCAGACCUGAUGUAAACCUUGCCGUAAGUUUGGUAGGAAGGUACCAAAGUAAUCCCGGCAUGGAACACUGGACAGCGGUCAAGAAUAUCCUGAAGUACCUGAAGAGGACUAAGGAUAUGUUUCUCGUUUAUGGAUGUGACGAAGAGCUCGUCGUAAAGGGUUACGUCGACGCUAGCUUCGACACAGAUCUGGAUGACUCGAAGUCACAAACCGGAUACGUGUAUAUUUUGAAUGGAGGAGCAGUAAGCUGGUGCAGUUGCAAGCAAAGCGUCGUGGCGGGAUCUACAUGUGAAGCGGAGUACAUGGCAGCCUCGGAGGCAGCACAGGAAGCAGUCUGGAUGAAGGAGUUCAUUACCGACCUAGGGGUGAUUCCCAAUGCGUCGGGCCCGAUGACUCUCUUCUGUGACAACACUGGAGCUAUUGCCCUUGCGAAGGAGCCCAGGUUUCACAGGAAGACCAGGCAUAUCAAGCGUCGCUUCAACUCCAUUCGUGAAAGUGUUCAAAAUGGAGACAUAGAUAUUUGUAAAGUACAUACGGACCUGAAUGUAGCAGAUCCGUUGACUAAACCUCUCCCUAGAGCAAAACAUGAUCAACACCAGGACGCAAUGGGUGUUCGAUUCAUCACAAUGUAACUAGAUUAUUGACUCUAGUGCAAGUGGGAGACUGUUGGAAAUAUGCCCUAGAGGCAAUAAUAAAUGGUUAUUAUUAUAUUUCUUUGUUCAUGAUAAUCGUCUAUUGAUCAUGCUAUAAUUGUAUUGUCCGGUAAUCAUAAUACAUGUGUGAAUGCAUAGACCACAACGUGUCCCUAGUAAGCCUCUAGUUGACUAGCUCGUUGAUCAAUAGAUAGUCAUGGUUCCUGACUAUGGACAUUGGAUGUCAUUGAUAACAGGAUCACAUCAUUAGGAGAAUGAUGUGAUGGACAAGACCCAAUCCUAAGCAUAGCAUAAAAGAUCGUGUAGUUUCGUUUGCUAGAGCUUUUCCAAUGUCAAGUAUCUUUUCCUUAGACCAUGAGAUCGUGCAACUCCCGGAUACCGUAGGAGUGCUUUGGGUGUGCCAAACGUCACAACGUAACUGGGUGACUAUAAAGGUGCACUACGGGUAUCUCCGAAAGUGUUUGUUGGGUUGGCAUGGAUCGAGACUGGGAUUUGUCACUCCGUGUGACGGAGAGGUAUCUCUGGGCCCACUCGGUAAUGCAUCAUCAUAAUGAGCUCAAUGUGACUAAGGGUUAGUCACGGGAUCAUGCAUUGCGGUACGAGUAAAGAGACUUGCCGGUAACGAGAUUGAACAAGGUAUUGGGAUACCGACGAUCGAAUCUCGGGCAAGUAACAUACCGAUUAACAAAGGGAAUUGCAUACGGGAUUGAUUGAAUCCUCGACACCGUGGUUCAUCCGAUGAGAUCAUCGUGGAACAUGUGGGAGCCAACAUGGGUAUCCAGAUCCCGCUGUUGGUUAUUGACCGGAGAGGCGUCUCGGUCAUGUCAGCUUGUCUCCCGAACCCGUAGGGUCUACACACUUAAGGUUCGGUGACGCUAGGGUUGUAGAGAUAUGUGUAUGCGGAAACCCGAAAGUUGUUCGGAGUCCCGGAUGAGAUCCCGGACGUCACGAGAGGUUCCGGAAUGGUCCGGAGGUGAAGAAUUAUAUAUAGGAAGUCAAGUUUCGGCCACCGGGAAAGUUUCGGGGGUUACCGGUAUUGUACCGGGACCACCGGAAGGGUCCCCGGGGUCCACCGGGUGGGGCCACCUAUCCCGGAGGGCCCCGUGGGCUGAAGUGGGAAGGGAACCAGCCCCUAGUGGGCUGGGCGCCCCCCAUGGGCCUCCCCCCAUGCGCCUAGGGUUGGGAACCCUAGGGUGGGGGGGCUUCCCACUUGCCUUGGGGGGCAAGGCACCCCCUUUCCCCCUUUGGCCGCCGCCCCCCCUUGAGAUCCCAUCUCCAGGGCCGGCGCCCCCCCAGGGGGCCUAUAUAAAGGGGGGGAGGGCAGCAACAAGACAGCCUUGGGCGCCUCCCUCCUCCCCUGCUACACCUCUCCGUCUCGCAGAAGCUCGGCGAAGCCCUGCCGAGACCCGCUACAUCCACCACCACGCCGUCGUGCUGCUGGAUCUCCAUCAACCUCUCCUUCCCCCUUGCUGGAUCAAGAGGAGACGUCGCUGCACCGUACGUGUGUUGAACACGGAGGUGCCGUCCGUUCGGCACUCGGUCAUCGGUGAUUUGGAUCACGGCGAGUACGACUCCGUCAUCCACGUUCAUUGGAACGCUUCCGCUCGCGAUCUACAAGGGUAUGUAGAUGCACUCCUUUCCCCUCGUUGCUAGCAUACUCCAUAGAUGCAUCUUGGUGAGCGUAGGAAAAUUUUAAAUUAUGCUACGAUUCCCAACAAUUUCAGCCCAACCGACGAUGGACUCGUCGGAGCCCGACAAUUUUUUACCAAGGUGCUCCAAUUCUGCUCAAAUCCCCUCCAAUUUUCGGCGACCAACCCCGAUUCCGACCGAUUUUGAUCAAUUCCUACGUAGGCUACCGAGCGGGGCAUGGGGCGAGCAGCCAAACGGGUCCGCAUGCGCGCGUGAACAGGGGAGAGGGGUGGGGCCGCGGGCGUGCGUGAACAGGGGAGAAGGGUGGAGCCGCCGACGCGCGUGAACAGAGGAGAGGGGUGGGGCCGCGGGCGCACGUGAACACGGGAGAGGGGUGGGUCGCCGGCGUGCGUGAACAGAGAAGAUGGGUGGGGCCGUGGGCGCGCAUGAACAAGGGAGAGGGGUGGGGCCGUGGGCGCGCAUGAACAAGGGAGAGGGGUGGGGCCGCGGUGCACGCUGGGGGUUAGCCGGCCGGGGCGCCCGCCCACGAGCCGCGCGCGAGAAGGAAAGCGGGUCGGGGUUGUGGGCAGGAGCUCGAAGGCGGCUGGCCGCGGUGCGGACAUCCACUAGAUCAAGAUCGGGUACAUGGUGACCUUCAAGUUGGUGACUCCCACGCCGUGAAGGUGAUCGUCUUCAACAACGACGGCAUUAAAGUGAUGACCAAGUUGCAGGAGGCACGACGACGCAUUCAUCGUGAACGUUUAUGAGAGCUCUAUAUUGCGCAUGCUGGUUUGGUUACGACUGUGUCAUAAUGGUUCGGUUGAAAACUACUUAAUUUAAGUGUCGUACUAUGUUUGAAAACUGUUUGAAUUGAUUUAAAACUAUGUUUAUAUGAUAUUUGUUUGUGUGUCAUUGGUUUGUUCCGCAUGCCUAGUGUAUUGAUAACCUCACCACCUUCACGAGGAAGUUACCAAACAACAUGCCCUGCAUGUAAUCAAACACCAUGACUUGUGUUUUCGCCUAAACAAGUGGGCAACCAAACAACCUACCUUUCGUUUCGUCCCACGCAGGCUAGAAGGUAUGCAGUCAACCAAACAAUAUACAGAUGUUAAUAUUUUUGCAUGUUUACUUUCAAUUGAGACAUAGAUGCAAUGCAAGCAAAAGUAGAUACGGCAAACAAACACACCCAUGGUGCCUAUCAUGUUUUCCAAAAAACGCACCUCCGAAGGUGGGAUUUUUUUUAACAGAAAUCCUCCGCUACAUUUUAUUUUAUUUUUCCCUGAAAAAAAAGAAGCGGAGGAUUUCUGCCACGAUACUAUCCGCACUGUGCGCGGAGCAUCUCUUCCCCGUAGGCACACACACGGCCGUCCCUGGACCCACCUGUCUUCCACGGACAUCGACUCACCCAUCUCCGAACCGCCCCCCCUCUGUCGCCACACCCCCGUCCCCACGCCCGCGGCGCAAAACCCCGCUAAAUUUUUCGCUCCGCCCGCCCCCAAGUCUCGCCACCGCCGCCAUCCUCCAAAUCGUCGGAGAAGAUAAUCCCCAGGACCCCCUUAGGGAUGUACGCCGACAUCCAGAAGGGUCGGCCGGGCUGCCGCCCCGUCGACGCCGCCUCCAUGGCGAAGCUCAUGAAGGUCUGGGCGAGGUACUUCCCCGAGGAAACCGAGCUCCAGGUCCCGGCGGACGACCCCAGGGCCAGGCUCGUCGGCGACCUGGUUAAGGUCCUGGAGCUGGAGGAGAGGGCCAAGCUCCUCCCACGUGUAAGCAUCUGUCUCCAUUCCCCGUAUAGCGCCUCAUUUUUGGCCCAUCUCUUAUGGUGACGCGAUUCUAGGGUUGCUUACUCGGUUCGGCCGCGACGAAAUUAUGGCGGUUGCUGCGCGACUGGUUGGUGCCUAGGGUUUAUCGGAUUGGCUGAUUGAUCGUUAGUUGAAAUUUUCUGGGAGUGGCAGCUGACAUUGUAACUGUAUAUAGUUAAAAUGCUUGCAGUCUCGUGCCUAAUGUCUGUUUGGUUCCAAUUAUUUAAGUUCCUGAGCUUGCCAUUGCUAGACAUUUAAUUGGGUACCAUUGUUAGUAAAAUGUGUGUUGGUUCCUUGCUGUUAGGGCAGAAUUUGGGUAAUAAUUUACUUAUCUGAUCGAAUCGACCUCGAAAUUUGGGGCAGAAUUUGUUUCUACAAUCUUCAAGAUCAAGGUCUCAAUGCGAUGGUGGCUCCUGGUAUAUGAAGUAGUGACAUAUCUAAUCAGAAAAGGGGAAUACUCUUCUUUAUUAGGAGGGAAAAGAAUCAAGAGGAGCUUGUAAUUUUGUGAAUAACUUUGAUACUUUUGUGCUCCACUUUGUCAGUAUCAUAAGAUUACUUAUACGUUUAUACCCCAAUGUGCUGCUGCGAUAACUACCUAAAGCACGACGCAAUGUUCCAAUUGAAAAAUGAAAUCAUGGCAUCAUGUAGUUGCACAAUAAAUUACUAAUCGGGUGGAAAUGAUUUAAACACAUCGCUUCAUAGUGUGCUUUUGUCAUUACAUGGAAAAAUAUUUCCGGUUCCAGCAAAUGAACGAAUUCAUGUUAUUAUAACUUAUGACUACAUUCACAGGUUGAAGAUGAUGGUGUUGUCUUCUUCCUUCCGAUUGAUUUCCAGCAGCUUAAGAACUUGUGCGGUGGUACCAACCUCUUAGAUGCUCUCAGGGAAAAUCCUAAAGAAGCCUUGCUUUGCAUGGGAGUUGCAGUUCAUCUGGUUGAUGCUUCAUUUCAUGCUAAAAUUAUUAGUGUUGUCAGUUGUGCUUUGUUUUUUCACUCGCUGGACUUUGAUUCUUGAUGUUUUCUUCAGGUUAAGUGCUCGGGCAAUGGCCUCCAGUUGAGCGACGUAGACAAGGUCAAUAUCAGGCUUUACAACCACACCGAGACAAUAAUUGCUUUGAAGAAUUUGAAAGCGGCCUAUAUUAGUAAGAACUUCUGUCUUUAUCCGUGUGUUCUGCAUCUAAAUGAAGUACUGACUUGUUGAUUCACCUCAUAGAGAAACUAGUGACAGUGCGUGGUACUGUUGUAAAAGUCAGUACUGUGAAACCUCUAGUUCUGGCGCUGGAGUUCAAAUGCAUGAAGUGUGCUACAGUCAUCCGUCGUGUGUUCUCUGACGGGAAAUUUUCACCUCCAGUAUCCUGCAUAAUUCAGGGCUGCAAGGGCAGAACCUUCACCCCAUUGAGAUCUACUGCCAAGUUGAUAGAUUUUCAGAAAAUAAGGCAAGUGAUAAAUAGAUAAUCUGUGUCAUUCUCUGCUUAUAACACUAAGCUCUGUUUUUAUUAUUUUCAAUCCAGGAUACAGGAGCUUUCUAGUGCUGAAAACCGUGAAGAAGGCCGAGUGCCACGAACUAUAGAAUGUGAGCUUAUAGAAGAUCUUGUAGAUUGUUGCAUCCCUGGAGAGGUUGUAACGGUAGCUGGAAUCGUCAAAGUGCUGAACAACCAUAUGGAUGUUGGAGGAGGUACAAUUUUGAAGAAACUAGUAUCUUAUUUCUCGUUGUUCAUUUCUGAACCUUCCUGGAUACUAUAUUUUACAUUGUUUCAAAGCCUGAAUCCUCUUUGCAAAAAAAAUAAAAAUGCUAAUGUUCAGGUGUCCCAAAUUUCCUGCAACACCUGUAGAGCACAUAUGUUUUCAGUCUUUUGUUAAGGUUGUUCAGUAGUUUGGGUUGGUUGUCUAGUUCUGGUGCAUUAUGGACUACUAGGUGUAACCGUAUCAGGUAGUUCACAAGAACAAUUAUCAAGUUCCAUGUUACUCUUAGGGAAAACCUAUCUCCUGCUACGUUUGUUAUCCCUAAAACCUCUCCUCAUUUUAUCUUUACCUUAACCAAAACAUUCACUCUUUUUUAGACAUUGUUGCUUUCUAUGAUUUCCUUUAAUAUAAGACUCAAGAAUUGUUUGUAGAACAAUGAUGAUAGCCAAAAGGUUACUAUGUGUGGCGUCCAUGUCCUUGCCACAUGCAAUAGUCGUGAUGAUUUCUCUGUCAUGCACGGUAUCCCAUACAAAAGGCCAUGCACGCCACACAAAGCAGGAAAGUGUCGGAUCAACAGACCAUGUCAGCAAUGAGACGUGUCCAGGAGGGAUAUGUCGGGACAGACUCGGUGCUCCUGGAGGCAGCAUCCACUGCCACUGUCUUGCCGCAGCCAAAAGUUGUGGGUGAGGGGAGGACAAGUUCAAUCCCCAUGCCUCCUCAGUGCCAUCAAGGGUUAGACUGUUAGAGCAGAUUAUAGGUGGUAGGUGCAACAUAUCGGCUGGAUGGGAGAUACAAAGAGUGAGAGAUAGAGGUGAAUUGCGUCUUCAUUGAUUUAAUAUAUUACUCCCUCCGUUCCAAAUUACUCGUCGCAGAAAUGGAUGUAUCUAGAACUAAAAUACAUCUAGAUACAUCCAUACAUGCGACAAGUAAUUCGGAACGGAGGGAGUACAUUACAGUUCCUUUAUGUAGUCUCUACUGGCGUAUCUGUGUAUGACCUUAUACCUAAUAAUCCUAAGUUCCUAACUGACCACAACUCAUAUUUGAAUCUAGUUGCACUGUCCUGGACUGGUCUCGAGAUCAAUGAUACCAAUGGCAUUGAUCCGGGUGGACUAAUUGAAUGCACUGGAGCCCGAGUCAUAGACAGCCAGUAAUAGGUUUGGGUAGUUGCGGGAGCUGCAGCGUUGGCACAACUGGCCUGUAUUCUAGGCCCAGCUGAAUUGGGUUCAGCUGCUGCCCGUCUGGUGGUUAUACACCCCACAACUGAUCCCAUGAUCAUAUCCUGAUCUCUUGUGUAGUUCUUUCUGGUUCUACCAUGCAAACACAAUCAGUGAAGUUCAUAUUAGUCUGAUGCCGGUGCAUUCUUUUUCCAAAACAUUCUUGUUUGUACUAUGUAGAUGCAUAUUUUCUUAAAUUGUCCUGUGGAUAUAUACAUAUAUUUUUAAUAUCUUCAGGUAAGUCCAAAAGCAGAAAUCAGGGUUUAUACUACUUGUACUUGGAAGCAAUCUCAGUAAGGAACUCCAAGGCCCAUGUUGUUUCAGAAAAUUCAGAUGCAAGUUCUACUGAUAUUCUGGCUACUGGAUCCUUCAGUUUCGAAACUUUUACUGAUAAGGAUCUUAAAUUCAUCACCGAAUAUAAUAGCGAGCAUGGUGCUGAUGUAUUUCGUCAAAUACUUCACUCCUUUUGCCCCUCCAUCUAUGGGCAUGAACUUGUAAAGGGUAAUUUUCUAUUCUAGUACACUGUUUUAAAUCCUAAUGUGGUAUUUUCUUGCAGUAAUUUAAUUAGAAGGUAUUUGCGCUGGCUAUUUAAUGUGAUUAAAUAUUUACAUUUUGUCUGCUCAGUGUUGUCCAAACAUUUGGAAAUAAAUCAAUCUGUUGUGCUCUCUUUAGUUUCUGUAUAUAAGAAAUGAUAACUAUUAUUUUAGCUUCAUUACUUGUGGACAUGUGCAGCGUUUUCAGUAACGAUUAUUUGAUUAUUCAUUAUUUCACGGUAAGUACUCUUGUGCCGUCUCCAAAAAAACCAAUUCAGCUGUGAGGAAUUGAUCAAGCUAUUAGUGCAGAGUUCAGUAAGGGGAUAUGUUCUCUUUCUUUUCAAGAGCCAGCGUUCUAAAGAAUGAAGGAAAGAAAAGAGUGCAAACUGUAUUUUUGAACGUAAAAAUAUUAAAUUAUCAAAAGUUCGACGAGUAGAAUAAAGACAUGCCUUAUUUUCUAAGAGAGCAAACAUCAAGAAUGAAUGUUUGUCCAUCUCCAGUUCUUCUUAUGAUCAAUACCUGCAUCUUCAUUAGUACAUGACGACCUAGCUACCGCUUGCUGACUUAAAUCUUGGUGGGAAGGCGGUGCCUAAUGCUUAGGCAGCCGUCUAGUCCAAUUUUAGAACACUGUCGAUAGUGCAGAGUUCUCAUUUCAGCGCAGUAGCAUUUGCUUGGAUGCCGCUUCUUCUGAUUCGUUUUGUUUCUUUGUUGCAUUAUAUUACUGGACAUGACUAAAUUAAUGUUUCUAAAUUUCAGCUGGUAUCACUCUUGCGCUUUUUGGUGCUGUGCAGAAGCAUUCAAUGGAUCAGAACAAAGUCCCAAUUAGAGGAGACAUCCAUGUUAUUAUUGUUGGUAAUCCUUAUAAUUUACCAAUCAUGAUCCAUGUAGUACAUGCUUAGCACUUCCCAGGAUGCAAUCAUACUCUUGCUUAAUGUUGUCGCAGGCGAUCCAGGACUAGGCAAGAGCCAAUUACUAAAAGCUGCAGCAUCUGUUUCCCCACGGGGAAUAUAUGUAUGCGGGAAUACAACCACAAAUGCUGGUCUAACAGUUGCUGUGGUUAAAGAUUCAAUGACAAAUGAUUAUGCAUUUGAGGCUGGUAAGCAUGGAAGAUUUAUUUGUUCCUCACACAUUCUGUGGAGAACCUUGUCAGAAAGUCAGCUAAUUCGAUCAUUUGUUGUCAUAUAAUUGGUUGUUCUACUGUUUUGUGGCCGAUGUGGUUUGAAGUCUUAGAAUUUGUGAUUGGAUCAAAAUAAUGUUAAGCUCUUGGCUUUACAGGGGCCAUGGUUCUUGCUGACCGUGGGCUAUGUUGCAUUGAUGAGUUUGACAAAAUGUCAGCAGAGUAUCAGGUAUUAUUUUUAGUUUUCACCUGAUACAACCUUCUUGGUGAAAUGUUCAUUCAGUAAAAGAUGUUCUAUACUUUCCUUGUUUGAAAUUGAAUUUGUGUUCUCAGUCCUUACUGGAAGCCAUGGAGCAGCAGUGUGUAUCUGUGGCAAAGGCUGGCCUUGUGGCGAGUUUAUCUGCCCGCACUUCUGUGCUGGCAGCUGCUAAUCCUGUUGGUGGUCAUUACGAGUGGGUUAAUCUUUUCCAUCCUUUGAUAAAAUUUUCUACCCCUGCUUAUCGUAUGAUGUUUGUCAUUCUGGAUAUGUUGUCUUCAUUCAUCUUUCCUUCUUCAAUUGAUACUCAUUACCUGUACUGUUAUCUCUGUGCGUAUGCGCGCGAUGUGCAAUUACUACAGUGUGAUUGUUUUUGUCAACGUAAUGUUCUUUUUGCACUCACACAACCACACAAGUCACCGUGCCUGGAACAGGCAGACCUGUAAGCAAAUACCAUUUCCUUGUGUAUUCUGGUGUUGUUCCUUAUUUUUGCUUGUCAGUGAGAUGUAGGUAACAGAUCUUAAAUUCCUGGGUUGUUUUCAACUUUUAGUAAUACUAUUUUUGCAGCCGAGGCAAAACAGUGAAUGAGAAUUUAAAGAUGAAUGCUGCCCUGCUCUCUCGGUUUGACCUGGUUUUCAUUUUACUUGACCAGCCAGACUUGUUUCUAGAUAAGAGAGUAUCAGACCACAUAAUGGCAGUAAGUUUUUGUUAUCCAUUUUUUGUCCACAUCUUAAGCAUAUAGUACCGAUGAGCAAUAUCACCACAUAUAAUAAAUGUGUCAGGGCUUUAAUCUAAUUAAAAAAACUAAGGAAAAAACAACAUUUUCUACACGCAGCUCCAUACCAAUGACAGAAGUCCUUGCUCAUCCAACAAGAGGCUAAGAACAGGUCAUUCUUUGGUUAUUCCAUAGCAUUUUUAGUUCCUUUUUACAUGUGAAACCGUAUACAUCGUUAUUGAUUUGCAACUUUGCCCCAUGCCCAGUGCCUCAAUUUAAUGGCAGUAUGGGGAUUGGAAUUGAUGAGAAAAAAUUAGCUUCAAGGCUGAGACUACACCCUGAGAAAGAUAGGGACUUUGUUCCGUUACCUGAACCACUUCUUCGCAAGUAUAUAUCUUACGCGAGAAGCUAUGUUACCCCCCGGUAUUUUGUCAGCUCCUUUUCACUUAUCAAUACCAUAUAUGUAAUGCAAUGAGUUCUCAUUUUGUUAUUUUUCUUCUCUCGGCUCAAGUGUGUCAGAACCAGCAGCGGUGGUACUGCGAAAAUAUUACUUGAAUUUGAGAGCGCAUAGUACUUGUUCUGAUGGCACACCCAUCACAGCGAGACAAUUGGAAAGCCUUGUGAGGUUAGCAGAAGCUCGCGCUCGGGUGGAUCUAAGAGAAGAAGUGACUGAACAAGAUGCGAAUGUAAAUAAGUAGAAUACUUACCCCCCGGUUCCCUCCUCCCCAUUUUGUACAUAUGCGCACCUUGCACCCUUGCACUGCCAGCUUGGAUUUCUUCAUACUUCAUACCUAAAUUACCAGCAGAGAAUUUUUCUGUUGGUUUAGGUUCUUGUCCAUGAUUGCUGGGAAAAUCUGAGUUCUUUCUCAUGCUAGUUUUCAUCCUCAGCAAAUUACUGAAUCAAACUCAGAAGCAUGAUGAAUUAUGUUUUUUAAUCUCCAUAUCAUGUCGAUGUUGCAGAUUUAUUUUUUCUGUCUGUUUGCUGCUUUAUAAAUCUGAAAAUGUGAACGUACGGUGCUUAUCGCAUGCCUAAGGCUUAUGCAAAGUGUUGUCUGGCAAAUAGACAGCCGGAUAGUUAGAUGACAUCAAGAGGCACACCUAUUUAAUAAAAAAUGGGCAUGCAAUCUCAUUCUGCGUUUUAUUAUGUUGCAGGAUGUUGUUGAGAUCAUGAAUGAAUCCUUAUAUGACAAAUAUGUUGAUGAGCAUGGUUGUGUGGACUAUGCUCGGAGUGGUGGGAUGAGCCAACAAAAGGAGGCAAAAAGACUUAUGAGUGCCUUAAACAAGCAAUCUGAGUUGCAGCAAAAGGAUCAGUUUUCAAGAGCCGUAAGCAAUUAUGCAUCUAAAAUAUUUUUGAUGAAAGGCUGGUCUGUUAUUGCAUAUACGCAAACCAACUGACAUGGAAAGAGUGCCAAUUUUAGUUCAGUUACAAUUCUGGUCCUGCUAUGAUCGACGAAAUUUUGACAUACUUGCUUUUUGUGCAUUUUGAUUCUUUUGUUACGCGGUUUCUCCAGUCAAUAGGAGCAUCUUCUUGAGGUUCCUCUGAUGUUCUGUAAUUUUCCCUUUGUAGGAGAUACGGAGCUUAGCAGAUAAAAUCAGCUUGCAAGUCCCGGAUUUAGAUGAUAUUAUGGAAAGAUUGAACAGUGCCGGUUUUAUUGUACAUAAAGGACAAAACAUAUACCAGGUAUUGUCUCAUAAAACUGCUUGACAUCAAGAAGUUUUGAUGUAUACAUUAGAUGGUUAUCCUGGUGUCGUGCUGAUUAUUGAUUAUGAGUUUAUGACUGUCAGGCUCGUGAUGAGCCCUCCACUGAGAAUCUAACUUAUUAUUGUCUGUGAAACAGAUAUUGACCUCAUCAUGUUCACGGACCCAGCCAACAAGGUCAAGAUGGUGAGUUCUCUUACACCCUACAUGAAAACAUGGGAGUUUGGUGUUGGUAUUAUGCUAAAUUUUAUAUCUGUGCCACACGUUAACGUCUGGUUGAUUAACAGUUACUUUGGGUCAGUGUCCAACACUUGCCAUUGUUGUGACAAGAUAACUGUUCAAAGGUUUCCUCUUUGCUGCCGAUUCAUGAUCGUUUUUUUUCUGGCAGAUGUAGGGGGGAUAUGUUCUGCAACUAGUAUGGACCGUUAUGUACAGUAUAGUCAUGUGAUGGCCUCUAAUUAAAAUGUGCGGAUAGCUCUGUUAAUGCUGUUUAUCGUAGCAGCUGUAGCUGAUAAUGACAAAAUUAGUAUCCUUACUAGUUCCAGCAUGUUAAAGAAACAUCCUGUUUUCGUUAAAGAAUCGUCUAUGUCCUGGACAUUGGUGAUCAUGAAUGCUGAUUCUUUAUGUGAAAGAAACAUAGUGUGUUUUUUUGCGGGGAAGAAACUUAAUGCUUCUAUGAGACUUGGAAUGGAAAUAACCCCUUAGGCCUGAGAAAUAGCAAACCCGCUUUGCUUACGGUUAUGUUUUUAUUUGGACGAACGCAGCAAUGCUGCUUCAUUUUAUAUUAAGAGAAAGAGUUACAACAAGUAAUUGGGCGGUGAUGAAGGUGACCACCAAGGUAGACAAAUGGAGGGCACAGAUAACAAGUUUCAUAGAAUCAUAGUACCAUCAAGGAGGCCUCCAUGUUAGCCUCCUUGGUGGUGUCACCACUCUUCUACAUUUUGCUCUACGGGAAUGUGGAACGCUGGUGUUUUAUCCUACGUCUGUGCUCUACGCUUACCAGUCGAAUUGUUUUGUGUGCUAUCCAUUUUUACAGAGAAAGCAGCCUUUAGAUUGCUCAAUCAAUAGGUCUUUUUCAAGCAUAGGCAAAAGGUAAUUUUAGGGGUCAUGGAGCCAUAUAUAUCUAUAAAUGAUAAUGAUGUUGUGCCCGCCCUGUUAGAUUCUCUCGGGUAGUGAACAAAGGUUGCUUUUCACAAACUCAGUCGCCUAGACUCAACGAUCAGUCUUGCUAUCAUAGUUGAAGCCUACCCGGUUACACCCCAUUUGCAGCGCCAUGGCUGACCUCAACAUCCUUUUUUUUUCUUGAGGUGAUUGCCUCACAUCUUGGGCAUGAACCAUGAGAGGUUCACCUGGGGUCGAUCGAUCUCGCUCACGCCGUUUGCUACCAGGUUUCUUCGCAACAGCUGUUUUGAAGUUGGCAGCCAGGACCAUGAGCAACGUAAACACGCAAUUGGAUCGAUGGGAGCUUGGAACUUCUCCCCAUUAAUGUGCCGCCAGCGUCUUCCACCGUUUUAUGAAAUGUACUACCCGCUGCUCCUAAAUACAGUACAAGUCUUUUUAAUGAUUUUAAUAUGAACUACAUAUGGAGCAAAAUAAGUGAAUCUACACUCUAAAAUAUGUCUAUAUACAUCUGUAUGUAAUCCUUAUUGAAAUUGAAAUCUCUAAAAAGACAUAUUUUUUUAAGGACGGAGGGAGUACUACGGAGUGUGUAAGUAGUUCCAGUGAUACUUUUCCUGCCCUAUCUGCCGCCAAUGCUUCACUUGUUCCGUGUUGGAAUGGGGCAUAUCUUUCGUUGCCCAUUAGUAUAGACGCCAAUGAGCAAUCAAACUAGUUUCCUCAUCGUAUCCUCUUGGGUUGUGCAGAGUUUGCAGUGAAAAACAUAAUCAGCUGUUAUUUGCAUAACUCUUCCAGUGUGAAUUACUACUACAAUCAGCAAAACUGCAUCCAUGUCAUUAUGGAUUUUGCACACAAAAAAACAUGAUACAGAAGCAUUGCAGAGGGCAGAUAAAACUUGCUAUCCAAAUCAUGGAAACAAAACUCAAUAGCGACAGACAGUCAACAGCAUCUCGCUAGUACAACUUCAGGUUACGUAUAUAGGAAUGAAAAUGCUAAAUGGUGGACGAGCUCCAUGGAGCUCGUUUUUUUGAAAAAAAAAACCCCGGAAAUUAUAGCUCCCAAGUUUCAAAAAAUCCUAAAAAGAUCACACGCGUUCAUACAGAUGUAAAUUUUAAAGAUGAUACUAUAAAUUAAUGGCGAGAGCUUCACUAGUUAGAGAAAAUCGUGAUUCUGAAAAUGGUGAACAUGUUUUGUGUAGCUCUUCAUCGUUAGAACGUGUAGAUUUUUCUCAGAAUAUUUUUAUUCAAAAUGUGUUUUUUGCUUCUUUUUGCUCAGGACAUUAAUAAUAUCCAAUCUAACCCAAAUAUCCAAUCCAAUUCACAGGUCGAUUGGUAUGGAUUUUUUUUCAGUACUACAGUACUGCAAAACUAUCUCAUCAUGCAAAAAAGAUUUUUUAAACAAACAUCAACAACAUAACACAGACAAUCAUAGCACAUGAGAUAAAACCCACUAGCCAGCAGAGUAACACAGCAACAAUAUAUAUCCAGAUCAUGGAAACAAUACUCUUAAUAGCAACUGUUAAGAGAAAGCAACAGCAGAGAAGGAACAAAUCUCGCUAGUACAACUUCAGGUUAUAUAGGACAUUGUAAACAUAGCAGGCAACUUUCCUCCUCAAACGACCAGAGCCUUACAGUCCAUUCCAUCCUUGCCUAACAAAAAUGCAACCUAAGACCUGGGCUUCUCCUUCUUCUCCUUGAAGAGAGCGAGAAGCGACACACCAGAUACCUUGACAACCUUGAACCUGACACCGGGAAUAUCUCCCACGGCAUGACCCUUACGACCGAAUCCAGCAAUCAGCACCUCGUCCUGAAGCAUCCAUCAAGUCAAGAGGUUAGGUUGGUUGCAUAUAGCAGACAUAUCACAUAUAUGCGAGCAAUGGAGGUUAGGUUGGCUGCAUAUAGCAGACAUAUCGCAUAUAUCUGAGAAAUGGGUGAGGGGCAC